AGGUCUAACUUGAGAUUAUUACAUUUUGACUUUUCUUCCGAGACAUCAUGCACACACGCUUGAAGUUACUGGCAAAAGGAUGGAUUUGAAGAGAAUGAGAGCUGUUUGGAAUGGUUUGGUAGGCUAGGACAGGCACAUGGGCACAUCAUCCCUCACACAUUCGUCGACGGAGAUGUGAUACAAGAAUGUCAAGGUGAAAUGGGAUACACAAAGGCUGCCCCAGUCUGGUGUUUUGGAAAAUGAACUGGGGUUUGGAUCCAUGAACAUUAGGGUGAGAAAAUCAAGUGAGACUCGCAAAGUUGCCCCGGUCUUGGGAUUAUGGAUUGAUGAAAAGUUCGUGUGAGACUCACAAAGUUGUCCCGAUUUUUGUUUGUUUUUUUUUCUUUGUUUAUUGUGGCAUGGGUUGAUGAUAAACUCGGGUGAGACUCACAAAGUUGUCCCAGUUUUUCUUUGGCAAGGGGUUCCAUUUGGAAGAGGUAUUGGACAUGAAAAGGAUCGGUUAAAAGGAUGACCCCAAAUUAGUUUGAUUUUUCUUUUGCAUGCUUCUGGUUAGGUGGCAGGGUGAUCCCCUCUUCCUGAGACAUUACUUUUUCUUUUUUUCCCUUUUUUUUUCUUCUUUUCUACGACACACUGAUAGUCAUUUCACUUUAUCGCAAAAUUAAGCUUUAUGAAAAUUUGAGCAAUCAUUAUNCAAUCUGCAUGGACUUUGUUAGGCUUGUAACGUGGCUAGGGGCUAAAAGGAAUUAGAAGAAAAGGUAUAAAGGCCCAAAUGAAUGUUUGUUGGUUAUUAUUUUUUGAAACAAGGAUUAUCAUCUAAGUAUUGCAUCAACUAUUUGACUUUUUGAGCACUUUGUUUUUUUUUCUUGAACUUCGUUUUUCAUUCUUUUUGCUCAACAUCACUUUGUGAUUUCUUUUUGUUUUUUUUUUCUUGUUUUUCUUUUGUUUUUUUUUUUCUCUUCUUGAUGAAUUCUCUUUGUUUGACCACUGAGUGCUCCUUAUUUGCAUCAUGAGUUGACUCUUACCUGAUGACAACCCUUGCUUGGGGAUGAUUUUGAAAAAGGAUUUAUUUUUAGCUCAAAUAGGGUGACAAUGGAUAUAUUUUUGCUUUUAGGUAAAAACAAGAAGGCCGCACAUCAUUUUGAACUCUGAUUGCUUUAUUUUCAAAAGACUAAUUUUGCGACUGGAUGACCGCAACAUGAGUCGUUUUUUUUUUUUCUGAAAUUUUUUUUAGGCUUUUUUUUUAGACUGCCCUUUCGGGUUUUCAAUCUAGUGGACUUAUUUUCUUUUUGAAAGUUUCUUUUUUUUUUGUGAAAAUUCUUUUGUUCUUUUAUUUGCCUCAAUGGUUUCGGGGAUCACCCAACUAGCGCAAGCGAGAUAAUUUUGGCCAGACCAAUCUGCCCCAGUAUGAAGGUUUACUUUGUUACUUGGGGCAAUGUCAGUGUUUGUGAGGAAAAUACUUUAUUUUGGGAAAGUGAAGGGUGUAGGUUUUCAAGCAACAUGUGCACAAACGUCUUGAGAGAAACGUCAAAAUUGUUAUUUUUUAGACAUUUGACCUCGGAAAAGUCUGACACUACAACUUUUGUUUUUUUUAUUGCCAUUUUUUUUGCUAUUUUCGAAAAACAAGAGUUUGAAGAUUUGCAAGAAAGACAAAUGACUCAAGAUCGCCAUCAUUUUUUCUUUUCCAAUUUUGUUUUAUUUUUUAAUACCCUUUCAGGACUCGAUUUCCAGCACUACUUGGAGAAACCCUGUAGUAAUUGUUCACAUUGAAAAUCAUGGACGAGGAUGUGAUAACAAUGAACACAGAUCUCUUGGCAAGAUACUUCACAAUCAUCAAAUUCACUUGUACGAUGGCUUAUGUUUUCUUAUGUGGUUCUAGAGCCCGCAUCAUUGUUUCAUAGCAUCUGUAGAGAUAUUCUCAAGCCUUGCCUUAGUGUAGGGUUGACUUUCUCUACAGUUUAACAAUUCUGAAUCGAUCAAAACUUGUCUUUGCGCUUGACAACAAACACUUUUGGUGUAAUGAUCGAUANCCCCUUCAUGGUAAAUACCUUCGUAUCGUGAGUCUUGAAAUAUUGAGGGUCUAAAGGCUUCAUGUAACAAUUAGAGACAGGGCCUUUUUGAAACAGACUUGGAAGCAACGUUGCUUAAGUCAUAUGUNUAGGAGUAAAGCUCGCAGCCUUUUCUCUUGAUCAAUCAUUUUCCUGCCCAACAACUUAGUGAGAAGUUGAGUUUGGAUCAAAUAUCCCAUUUGUCUUGCAAUUGUUUCAAGUGAAGGGUAGGCCAACGGGAUUUGAGCGAUAGGAGGUGAUUAAACUCUUUGCUUUCUUCUCUUCACAAGCUUAAACCCGACUUGUUCAUAUUUGCUAUCAUGGUAUGACCUUGCGUGACCGUUCCAAUCCUCACACUAACUUCAAUUCUAUCUUCAAGCAUCCUCAGGUCUACAAAGUUUGAUGAACACUGCUCACCAUGGUCUCAUAGAAGGUGAUCGCAGAGUAUUUAGGAAUGUGUCAACCAUCUUAUUAUCGCUCAUAAUAGACUUUCCUUGAGCAACAUUCUUUCCACCUUUGGGUAUACUCUUUGAAUGAUUUUGACGGCUUUUUCACCAUACCCUGUAAUUGUAAUCUAUGAGAUGUCACAUUCGUGUUAUAUUCGAAAUGCUUCAAGAAAGCACCCACCAAAUCCUCCCAAGACUGUAUGCACGAAUGUUCAGGAUGAUAGCCUCAGUUUAGCGGCAUGCCAGCCAAUCUUCCUUGGAAGAAAUGAAUUAGCAACUUUUCAUCAUAUGNNCACACAGUNGUUUUCUUGUCAUACGCCAUGAGAUGAGUCUUAAGACAAAUGGUCCCUCUAUAUUUCUCGCCUUUGGAAAAUUUAAACUUUUGAAUGUAUCAUCAGAUCCGGGAUUAAGCAAGCCUUGCAACAUUUUCAGACUUAACGCUUCAUUCACCUUCUAUGGCUGUCAUCCUUUUUCAACAUUUCAAAUUUACCCUUGUCAACCUCAACAUCCAUUUGUGCACAAACAUGGAAAGAAGACUUCAGCUCGGAUUGCCUUGUUAUCAUCAUGUUCACAAUACUUGAUUGAAGCCUUUUCCUAGGGACCAUGAAAGUGGUUGCCCCAAGCUUGUUCUCCACUUCAACUGCAUUAUCUUCGGCCUUUUGAGUGUGAACUUGCCCCUGAGUACGCUCCUGAGGGUGAAGUGUAAUUUAUGGAAGACCAUGUAAGGGAAAAUUUGAGUCUCUGAUACUCUUUGUUGCAGUCGUGGUGAACACGAAUCUUCAGUUCCCUGUAAGGCAUUCAGGGCCUCUAAGGCUUGGCUCAUUUGCCCCUUCAAUUGUUGGAUAUCAACUUUUCAUCCCUUCUUGAACUUCUCCUUGGUUCUCCAAGAUUUAGUAACUGGUUCGAGUCCUUUUUUUUUUUGAUUUUUUUCUUUUUUUUUUCUUUGAAAUUUUAUUAGAUGAAACACAAGAGAAAAAGAAAAUAAACAAUAAAAAUGAAAAGAAAAAGAGAAGACGAUGUAGUUCAAAUUCUCUAGUCAGAAAUUAUAAAGCUGUGAAAAGAUUGCCCCGGUAUAAUUUGGAAAUUAACACAAGACUGAGUCAAUAGGGUAGCUCAUCAUUCAGAAGUUCACAAAAUGUGAAGCAUAGGAAGUCUUUUUCCACUACUCUGGGGCCUUAACCAUCAGCUUUUUCAUUUCCCCCAUUGAUUUCUUGCAACAAUUGAGGAAUGUUUCAAUCCCCUUAAGCGGGUUAAAAUAUCGGCAAUGCAGACACAACCUCGGCUAAUGACCUAGGAACGUUUUCAAUGGCUUUAUUGGUAAGGGAAGCUAGUUGUGAGAGGCUUCACUUUCAAUUCUCCCUUGUUCAACAACAUGUUCCUUCAUUUGAAUUACCAAUUCUUGAUUUAUACUUUUUAGCAUGAUGCUAACCUUCCUUCUUCAGUUUGGCCACUGCUGCUUUCACACGUUGUUCAGCAUUGUGAAAUUACUUUUCACCAUUUGGGUCAGGAGAAAUUAACUUGGAUGACAACUUGACUGUAUUGACCCCCUUGGUGUGGUGGCAGGAGAAGAGAAUGGGCCCAACAGCCUGGCCCAAGCCUAACCCUAACAGAAACAUUAGGGGUUUCUCUAGCUUCCUCUCAUUCACGCAUAUGCAAAUACAGAGACCUCUAGACUCUCUCUUCCAAAUCCAGCCCAGGGAUAGAUGCGCCUCCUCCGCCUGCACACUACCACCAGCGGCUCUGACAACACUCUGAACGGCCACCGCAGGCCGCUGUCCUUUGCGUCGCCAGAGCUGCCGCCAGACAUCACGGCGGACCGCCACCACCUUGCCCCUUUCUCCUUCGCGCGAGAGGAAGACGAACUCACUUGGACGCGUGCUCCUCGUUGCCGGCGAAACCGGGACCGUCAGUCGUUGGCCAUGAUGUCGCCGCUUUGCUGCGUCUCCGAGAGCCACCACGAGGAUUCUCUCUUCUUCCUCUGAACGCGACGCGUCUUCUCCCCAAUUUGGAGCACACCGUCGUACCUUCCACCUUGAGAGAACUACCACCCCAAAAUUAUGCUAGCGACUCUGCCGACGCUUCUAGUAGUUGUCCAAGACCAUCACCAGGUUUGCCAAUGGAAUAGGUGCAAGCAACAUCUCCCAUCUUCUCCUAUCGAUUAGAUAUUCACAAUGAAGAUGGUGAGAUUUGGGGUUUCCUCCUCUAUUUGAUGGUUGUAUGUAUUUUAUUGAAUAUGUGAUGGACUGGAAGUAAGGGUUUGAUGCUUCAAGAAUUGAGAUGAAUUGGUAUGUGAUGAUGGAAGGCGUAAGGGAGACUAGGAAGCGGAUUUGGCUCUUUCUAUUUUGGUUUUUGAAUGCAGGGAAAAUGGUUUUAGAAGUAUGAUGAGGAGGAUGGGAAUGAAGAUAGAUGGAGAUGAAAAUGAUGGAAGGGUGCUGACAGUGGGAGAGACCGUGAAUGGAGAUGGUUACAGUUUGGGUAGAGCAGAGGGAUGGAUUCUGGGUUAUGUGUGAUCAAGAAUUGGUUUCCAUUUUUCUGUUGAUUGGGAGUGAUGAAAGAGUGAUGAAUUAUGGUAGUUUUNAGAAGACUUCAGCUCGGAUUGCCUUGUUAUCAUCAUGUUCACAAUACUUGAUUGAAGCCUUUUCCUAGGGACCAUGAAAGUGGUUGCCCCAAGCUUGUUCUCCACUUCAACUGCAUUAUCUUCGGCCUUUUGAGUGUGAACUUGCCCCUGAGUACGCUCCUGAGGGUGAAGUGUAAUUUAUGGAAGACCAUGUAAGGGAAAAUUUGAGUCUCUGAUACUCUUUGUUGCAGUCGUGGUGAACACGAAUCUUCAGUUCCCUGUAAGGCAUUCAGGGCCUCUAAGGCUUGGCUCAUUUGCCCCUUCAAUUGUUGGAUAUCAACUUUUCAUCCCUUCUUGAACUUCUCCUUGGUUCUCCAAGAUUUAGUAACUGGUUCGAGUCCUUUUUUUUUUUGAUUUUUUUCUUUUUUUUUUCUUUGAAAUUUUAUUAGAUGAAACACAAGAGAAAAAGAAAAUAAACAAUAAAAAUGAAAAGAAAAAGAGAAGACGAUGUAGUUCAAAUUCUCUAGUCAGAAAUUAUAAAGCUGUGAAAAGAUUGCCCCGGUAUAAUUUGGAAAUUAACACAAGACUGAGUCAAUAGGGUAGCUCAUCAUUCAGAAGUUCACAAAAUGUGAAGCAUAGGAAGUCUUUUUCCACUACUCUGGGGCCUUAACCAUCAGCUUUUUCAUUUCCCCCAUUGAUUUCUUGCAACAAUUGAGGAAUGUUUCAAUCCCCUUAAGCGGGUUAAAAUAUCGGCAAUGCAGACACAACCUCGGCUAAUGACCUAGGAACGUUUUCAAUGGCUUUAUUGGUAAGGGAAGCUAGUUGUGAGAGGCUUCACUUUCAAUUCUCCCUUGUUCAACAACAUGUUCCUUCAUUUGAAUUACCAAUUCUUGAUUUAUACUUUUUAGCAUGAUGCUAACCUUCCUUCUUCAGUUUGGCCACUGCUGCUUUCACACGUUGUUCAGCAUUGUGAAAUUACUUUUCACCAUUUGGGUCAGGAGAAAUUAACUUGGAUGACAACUUGACUGUAUUGACCCCCUUGGUGUGGUGGCAGGAGAAGAGAAUGGGCCCAACAGCCUGGCCCAAGCCUAACCCUAACAGAAACAUUAGGGGUUUCUCUAGCUUCCUCUCAUUCACGCAUAUGCAAAUACAGAGACCUCUAGACUCUCUCUUCCAAAUCCAGCCCAGGGAUAGAUGCGCCUCCUCCGCCUGCACACUACCACCAGCGGCUCUGACAACACUCUGAACGGCCACCGCAGGCCGCUGUCCUUUGCGUCGCCAGAGCUGCCGCCAGACAUCACGGCGGACCGCCACCACCUUGCCCCUUUCUCCUUCGCGCGAGAGGAAGACGAACUCACUUGGACGCGUGCUCCUCGUUGCCGGCGAAACCGGGACCGUCAGUCGUUGGCCAUGAUGUCGCCGCUUUGCUGCGUCUCCGAGAGCCACCACGAGGAUUCUCUCUUCUUCCUCUGAACGCGACGCGUCUUCUCCCCAAUUUGGAGCACACCGUCGUACCUUCCACCUUGAGAGAACUACCACCCCAAAAUUAUGCUAGCGACUCUGCCGACGCUUCUAGUAGUUGUCCAAGACCAUCACCAGGUUUGCCAAUGGAAUAGGUGCAAGCAACAUCUCCCAUCUUCUCCUAUCGAUUAGAUAUUCACAAUGAAGAUGGUGAGAUUUGGGGUUUCCUCCUCUAUUUGAUGGUUGUAUGUAUUUUAUUGAAUAUGUGAUGGACUGGAAGUAAGGGUUUGAUGCUUCAAGAAUUGAGAUGAAUUGGUAUGUGAUGAUGGAAGGCGUAAGGGAGACUAGGAAGCGGAUUUGGCUCUUUCUAUUUUGGUUUUUGAAUGCAGGGAAAAUGGUUUUAGAAGUAUGAUGAGGAGGAUGGGAAUGAAGAUAGAUGGAGAUGAAAAUGAUGGAAGGGUGCUGACAGUGGGAGAGACCGUGAAUGGAGAUGGUUACGGUUUUUGGGUAGAGCAGAGGGAUGGAUUCUGGGUUAUGUGUGAUCAAGAAUUGGUUUCCAUUUUUCUGUUGAUUGGGAGUGAUGAAAGAGUGAUGAAUUAUGGUAGUUUUNNUGUGCGUGCUGGGAUGGAGAGGAAAAGAUUGUGUGNGGUUCUGUUUNUGUUGUUGGUGAGUCCUAAGGAAAUUGUCUGUAGUGUUGAUGAGUGAUCCGAUUGGGCAAGGCCAGGAUAAGUGGUGGGGCUGUGUGAUGGAGCCAGAGUGAUGAAUCUGUUAAAAAAAAUGGUGUGUGUCCAGAAGGAUUGGGCAAUGACCGUGGUUGAAUAUUGGAGGUUGUUGGAGAUAAGGGGAGAAUUCCUCUGCUUCAUAUGCCAUGUGUGUUGAGUGAUCAAGCCUGGUCCGUUCUUCUGCUUGGGUGUGAUGAAGGAUAUGGAAGACCCAUUCUGUUAUGUUCCCCCUUUCCAUUUCCAAAACGUGUCCUUUUUUCCAACUAUAUUUUUUUUCGUUUUCCUUUUUUUUUCUUUCGUUUUCUUUUCUUUAUUUUCUUUUUUGUUCUUUCUUUUUUUUUUUCUUUUUCAUUGCUUUUCCUUUUAUCUUUUUUAUUCUUUCGUUUUUUUCUUUUACUUUUUUUUUUCAUUCAUUUUUUCCUUUUCUUUUUCAUCAUUUCUUUUUCGUUUUCUUUUUCCUUCUUUUUUUUCGAAAUAAUAAAAUCAAAUGAAAACUAAAAUUAAAUCCAAAUAAUAAAAUAAAAUAAAAACUAAAUCAAAUAGUAAAAUAACAAUAAAAUGAAAAUAAAAUAAAAUAAAACAAAAGUAAAAAUCAAGUUCUAUUAUUUAGUUGCCCGGACGAAAUUGGGUGUUGACAAUAGGAACACACAUUGCAAAUCAACAAUCAAUAAAAGCAUUGUUCAAUCUAGUUUGUUAUACAGCUGAACAUGUAAACUUGGAACAUAUGUACUGUUAUUAAGCAGUGUGUUGUCAUCAUCAAAAACCAGUUUGAUAUAGAGUUUGUGUUGUCAACAAUCUCAAGAAAUAUUGGAUGGCAUUCACUCAUGCUAACAUCCAACCAUGCUCCCAUGUGUCGGACAUCACAGUUCACAGGAUCAUGUUCAUAUAUUGCAUGUUGAGAAGUAUGAAUGUGAACAUUGGUGAAGUCAUUACUACUGAGAUUUAGAGCUGCACCACUACUGUGAGCAACAAGGCACCACUGGGUCAUCCUUCUUGAUCACACAUCUAUGCCAGCAGGCUGGGGUGGAUUUCUCUACUGCACCAUUCGAGAGGCCUAGGAAGGCCAUUGAUGCAACAUAUUACAAGCAGUACUAUGGAGGAGAGGAGACAACUAGACUAGUGCCUCAAAGACGCCUCAGGAGAGGAGCAACCGAGUAGGAUGAACCAGCACAACACGCUUAGCCUUUCCAGAUGAGAAACAUGUAUAUGUCUAUGAUGGAGGCUAGAUUGGAGUCUCUAUACAGAGGGCAGGUGGCCACUGCUGAGAUGAUAGUGAGUCUAUACGAUACACCACCAGCACACAGGUGGACUAUGGAUGAGUUCCAUAAUGCUAUGGCAUGGCCAUAGGAGUAGGCACAUAGUAGCAAAGUUGGAGUAGAUGAAGCUCCAAUCAUGGAUGAUGAGGAUGAGGAUGAUGAUUUUGAGGAUGCAGAGGUUAGAGAUGAUGAUGAUUCUGAUGACAACAUGGGGGUGAUAUGGCAUCUACUGAUGGAUGCCGGUUACAGUGUAACAAGGUUUUAUUUUUCCUUAUGAUUUGUAAUUUGAACUUUUAGAAUAGGUUGAAUUCUAUUGAGUAGUGUAGGUUUUACGGUACUUGCUUGAACACCUUAUCUGAUGAUGGUUUGACUUGUUGAUUGCAUGAUGAGUUUGCUUGAUGAUGUUUGAUGUGGAUGAUGAUUGAGAUUGCUUUACAUGCUUUUAUACAGGUGAAUUGCUCACAAGCCGUGUGAAUAGAUGCAUGAUGAGUUAUGAGUGUGAUUAUGAUGCUAAGCAGGGUGUAUGAUUGGUAUUUGAGCUGUUGAGAAAAGCAUGUAUUACCGACGGCCUUGAGGCCUUUGGUAAUGUAUUGGUGAAAUUAAAUAUCGAGGGCUUUUGCCCUUUAGUAAUUCCUACGAUGCUAUAAGUUCAAAAUUUGAGUAUUAGUUCCUCAGAUUUCCCAAAAGUACAACUACUUCCCUCAUGGUCGUCAAACUCACUCAUUGACCUAGGGUUUCAACUUUGGUGCCGGUCAACCAGUUCGACGCUGCGGUUCGACGACGCGAGUUUGGUGGUGUGGGCGAAGAAGGAGGGGGAGGGAGGAUGUUUGAUGCGAAAUCUCGCUGGAGAGGCCCACCACUCUGCCGUUUGAGGAGCACUCAACGCCGAGUCACUAUUAAGUCCCAGGCAAGUGUAUCAGAUCGUUAUCAAGUAAUAUAAAUGGGUAAGUCCAAGUAUCGUUUCCCAAAGGACUCUUAGGCCUUAAUUUUCAUGUAAACUAAUUGCGUAAGACUUGAGAAGAAAUAGAAUUUAGGUUUUUAAAUGCAAAAAGAAAAGUAAACAUGCAAAUGCAGUGAUUCAAUUGGCUAAAAGUAACUAUGGAUGAAUGAAGUUGUUGGGGUGUACAAUUUCAUCUUAUCCACCCUCAUAUAUCUACUCUUCUUAUUUAAUUUGCUUAUUUAUCAUAUUGUCAUGCAAACUUUCUUGGUCUACCCUUAACCCAAUCCCUUGGAGAAAAGAGCCUAUUACUAAUUACCGGCUUGCUAUCCCUAGCCUCCCCUAUGCAUGAUAAAUGGAAGCAAAAUAUAAUUGAUGGUCCUACCCCUAUGCAUAGGUGGUAUUGCUUAAUCAAGGAAUUCCCCCAGUUCAUGACAUUACUGUACGUUCCCGUAUCAAUAAAGACAAACAACAUUUACCGAAUGAGUUAAACGAUAAAAGCAUUAAAUACAGGUGAGGAACCCAACAAUUGAUAAAUCAAGCAUAUGCAAGCAUAUAAACUAAAUAAGAAUUUGGAUAUAUAAGAGUUUCAAAAGAUUACAUUGUUCCCCAACAACCUAGGGUUUAGUUCACCAUAACCAUGGUGAAACUAGAUGAAAUAUGAUGAAAGAAUGGAAAAAAUAACCCUAAACUUGGUAGAUUGGAGCCUAAGCAUCCAAGGAACCUUCUCCAAGGUGUGUCGAAUAUCUAUGGACGUUUCUCUCUGCCAAAAGAAUAUAAGCAAACAAAGAUAACAGAAAGAUUACAGAAUCUAGCUAAUAAAAAUAGACAACCGCCCAGGCGCCUAAGUAAACCGGUUAGUGGUUUCCCCUCUAGCAGUUUGGACCGCUCAGCGGUCAGUUUUGCAUUGAGCGGUUUCCCUCUAAUCGCUCUGGACGCUCAGCGGUCCAUUCUGGCACUCAGCGGCUUACUUGACCAUUCUUUUCAUCCUUUUUCUUCCUCUUUCACGGGUCUAAGUCCAUCUUACUUUACUUCCAUCUUCAAUUCACCUUAAAACCCUGAAAAAAAAUGUAAAAACAAGCAUAAUAUAUCUAAAACCAACUUUUGACUCUCUCAUGACUCAGCUAAGUGUUUCACUUACAUUUAAGCUCAUUCUAAGCCAUAAAGGGUGUGUUUUAAUAUCAAAUUCAAGUAUGAAAAUAACGGUUUUUAGACCGUUAUCAGUCACGCAUCGAAGCAAGCGUCGGCUCUGGUCCAAUUGGAGAGUGUUGAGAUUUUUGACAACACAAACUCUAUAUCAAAAUGGUUUUUGAUGAUGAGAACACAUUGGUUAAUAACAGUACAUAUGUUCCAGUACUACAUGUUCAGUUGAUAUGCUAUACUGUUUUGAACAUUGUCUCUAUUGAACAUGUUUUGUUAUUUUGCAUGGAUGUUCCUAUGAUUGAAUAUGUGUUAUAUAUUUGGCACAUGCCUUAGUUGAAAUGUGUGUUAAAAUGUUCUUGAUUACUGUUACACAUUUCCAAAGAAAAGCUCACAAGUACUUUUAUGAACUUAUAUUUGUUGUAACAAAGGUUUAGUUCAGUCGACUACACUGGUAAUGGAGUCGAUUAAGCUAAAAUCUUUGUACAGAUUUUGUACACGUGUACUUGAUGAGAUUUUGAGAUGAAAAGAAUUUCAAAGUGUUUUUCAUUAGUCAGUCGACAAUGUGGAUCACUUAUUCGACUGUAUUACUGUUGUAUUUAGAAUUCUGUUUACCUACUUGCUCCAACGGCUAUAUUUUCAAAAGUUAGUUAAGAUUAACUAGCUGGGUCAACUGUCAUAAAUGUGUGUUAAUUCUGUUGACUGAGGAGCCUGUGUGUUGACUAUUUGUUAUAACUGAUUUUAUAUUGUCGACUCUAUUAGUAGGUCAUUCAACUGAGACUAACAGGAAAACUAUAAAUAGAAACAGAACACGAUUUGUUUUGAGACUUUUGUGAUCUGACAUUUUCAUUGUCUGUUUUAGAGAAAGCUCUCAAUUUCAAACGCUUAAAGAAUUCUCCAAGAAGACGGUGGUGAUCUUUCUUGAGAGAGAUUCAGAUUAAGGAGUCAAUUGGGCUUAUUGUUUGAUCAACAACUGCACAAUGAAGGUGCUUCUGGUUUGAUCUUGAAGGCUUGGCAUCCUAUGAAGACUGCUGCAUUUGACUGAAGGCUUGGCAACCUGUGAAGUGUGUUGUGAUAGGCUUGGCAACCUAUGAAGCGUGCUGUGAUAGGCUUGGCAUCCUGUGAAGAGUGCUGGUGACACGUUGAGGAUUGUUCAACGUGGGGGCAGAUUGCAGGAGAGCGGAUUCUUCCUGCAAUUCUGGUUUUUGCGUGCAGCUAUAUUUGGUUUUGGGUUAGAGAGGAGAUUUAUAUUUUUGCGUGGUGCUUCUAUAAAUCCCUUGUUGUAAAAACCGCAACCACUAUAGUGCAUUUGCUUCCAAGGUUGGAAGGACAAUGGAUGUAGGCUUUUGAUGAAGGUUGAAAAACAUUUAUUUUCAUAUGUCAUUUUAGACCUAAUUACGCCCUUUACUACUUGGAAUGAGCUUAGAAUCAAGCAAAACUCAAUAAAUGACUCUGUAGAGAGUCAAAAGCUGUUUUUAGCGAUAUUAUGCUUGUUUUGCAUUGUUUUGUAGCUAUUUUGAGGAUAUGAAGAAUGAAGUUGAAGAUAAAGGUCGUAGACUCAAGAAAAGAGAAGAAAAUUGAAGAUUUGAAGAGUUGACGCACCGCCCGGCGGCAACUUACACCGCUGGGCGGUCUAGGGCGAGGAGUAGGCACUGGCGUUGGCGCUGGGCGGUUUUGAGGGAAACUGUCGGGCGGUGACCCUUGUCGCCGGACGGUUUGUAGGUUUAUGCGAAACCGCCGGGUGACACACUUAUUCCGUCGGGCGGUGGUCCGCGGGGCUUUGGCCUGUUUUCUGUUGCGCUCCUCACCUAUAAAUACCCCUAUUUCGAAUUCAGAGUCAUUCUUUUGACAGGGGAGAACGACCAGACCUAAUUUUGCUCUCUGGAGAGGAUCUCUUGGAUGCUUAGGCUCCUUUUCAUCUUUUCUAGCUUUUGCUUUUCCAUUCUUUUGGUACUCUCUUUUAUUGAAACUCUUGAUUAUUUAUAUGGUUCCCAUAUGUUCUGAUUGUUAAUUAUUAGGUUCUCAUCUGUGCUUAAGGCCUUUAUCGUUUAACUCAUUCGAUAACUGUUGUUUGUCUUUAUUGAUACGGGGACGUAAAGUAAUGUCAUGAACUGGUGAGUAAUUCCUUGAUUUUGCAAUACCACCUAGGGAUAGGUGUAGGACGAUCAAUUACGUUUAACUUCUGCUCUUUAAGGCUGUAUUAAUUGCUAGGGGAGGUUAGGGAUAACAAGCCAAUAAUUAGUAUUAGGCUCUUUUCGCCGAGGGAUCGGGUUAAAGGUAGGCUAAGAAAGUUGCAUGACAAUUAAUUAGUCAAACUAAUAAUUCAAGAGGAGUAGAUAAGAGAGAGCGAAUAAUGAUGAAAUUGUAAAUCCCCAACAACUCCAUUCAUCCAUUGUUUUCUUCUUGUCAUUUGAAUCAAUCUCUUUUGCAUGUUAAUAUUUUUGUUCUCAAAUCAAAUUAAUUAUUUUUAUUUUCAAGUCUUAUUCUUUCAAUUCACGUGAACGAGAAAGCCUUUCGAGUCUCUUGGGAAGAACGAUAUUGUGUUUUACCAAUUAUAUUACUUGAACGAUUUGGUACGCUUGCCAAUCCGUCAACAAGUUUUUGGCGCCAUUGCCGGGGGACUCGAGGUUUAUUUUUCUAGUAGUGGGAAUUGAUUGAAUUUGACUUCAUUUUAUGUUUAUUUUCAUUUUUGUUCUUAUAAAUGUUUUCCAGGGUUUUGUGCUUAAUGUUUGUAGAAUGCAAUACGGACUAGGAUUUGAUUAUAUGGGCACGCAAUCCUACCAAAAUAGUUUCAAUCACUGGUGGGAACCUUACUCAUACAUGGAUCAAAGUCGAUAUGGACAAGUUGUUGACCCUCAUUUUAUGCCUAUACAAAGAAGUGCAGAAUCUGAGGAAAUUUUUCAGAGGAUUAUGAAUUUUGAACCAUACCAUGUCAAAAGCAUGGAGGAGAGGCAACAUUAUCAGUGGCAGCAACAAUUCUCUUCACCAAUUGAAACGUGGGAGUGUGGUCAACAACUUUGUCAACAGACAGCUGAUGUGACAGAACAAGUCAAAAGCUUGAAUGAAAAAUUCGACAAAUUUCUAGAGAGGUGUGAUUCCAAGAGAUAUGAAGUUACCUUCAGGAAUUUGGAUACACAAAUUGAUGAGGUUGUUGAUGAGGAGAAGGUGGAGAGAGAAGUGGAAAAGAUAGAAGAGGAGAAAAUAGAGGAAGAUGAAGUAGAAAGGUUGAGUGAGGAAGAGAAAGAUGAGAAGAAAGAAAAAGCAGUGGUUGAGAAAAAAGAAAAAAAUAAGAAAAUAAGAAAAAAGAAAAAAAGAAAGUGGAAGAAGGAGAAGGUUGAGAAAAAGAGGAAGAGAGGAAAGAAGAAAAGAUCACAUGAAAAACAUCUUCCUCAUAAAAAGAAAAAUAAUAGGAAGGGAAAUAAGUUCAAGUUGGCGAUCUUUAAGAAAUUGGAGAUUAAAGUUCCUAUGGUUGAAACAUGGAAACAGGUGCUUGGUGUUCUUAAUUUUAUGAAGAAAUUCAGCAGGAAGAAGAAAAAGAAAAGAAUAUCAAGAAAGGGGAGUAUCAACGCCUACUGAUGGGUGUUUGAACUCUACCAGGUCAAGCUAGUGACAUAAAAAGAGUGCUUGCUGGGAGGCAACCCAGUUUCUAAUUUUUUUUUUAUUUGAUUUGAUUUGAUUUUAUUUUAUUUUAUUCUAUUUUAUUUGAUUUUAUUUUAUUUGAUUAUAUUAGAUUUGAUUUGAUUUGAUUUUAUUUGAUUUGAUUUGAUUUGAUUUGAUUUGAUUUGGUUUGAUUUGAUUUAAUUUAAUUUAAUUUAAUUUAAUUUUAUCUUAUUUGAUUUGAUUUUAUUUUAUUUUAUUUGAUUUUAGUCUAUUUUAUUUUUAUUUUUUAUUUUUAUUUUUUGUUUUUUUAUUUUAUUUUAUUUUAUUUUAUUUUAUUUUUGGGUUAUGCGCUGCUUCUGAUGGCAGUAAUGAUUAACAUCUACUGAGGGAUGCUAAAAUUUUUGAAUCCACUGAAGGAUUCCAGGAAGGCACACCUACUGAUAGGUGUUGGAAGGUAUUGCACUUACUGACAAGUGCUAAACAGGUUUGGGUCAGGUUCGUGACGUUAAAAAAGCGCUACUAGGAGGCAACCUAGUUUUCUCUCUUUUACUUUUGCAUUUUAAAUUCUUAGAAUAGGUUGAAUUUUAAUUUCAGUGUGUACUCUUGGCUUUAAUACUUUUUCUGAAAAUAUUUGACUAACUGAUGUGCAUGAUGGAGUUUUUUGAUGAUUAUUUGAUGUGGGUGAGAAUUGAGUUGCAAUGCAUGUUGAUAUUCUGUGAAAUAGAUGUGUGAUGAAUUAUGAUUGUGGUUUUGAUGCUAAGCAGGAUGCAUGAUUGAAUUUUGUGUAAGGAAGCAUGUGUGUGAGAUUUUGAGCUCCAGAGUUUUUAUUGUUGUAUACAUUGCUCACAAGAACACAUGAAUGAUAUUGCUUUAAUCUUGAUGAUUGAUUUAUUUGCAUGUGAAUGUCAUAUGAUCAAGGCCAUUUUUGAGAACCCUUUUCUAGCCAAAUUUUCACCCAAAAUGCUUGAAAAUAUUAUACCAUUUUUGAACCUUAGCCUUAAACAGGAUAUGAACCCAUGUUUUGACAUUCUUUACCUUGAGUUGGGAUGAGCUUAAAUGUAUGCGAUGAAAAGGUUCAAGUUUGGGGUUGUAUGGGGGAAAAUUGAGAAAAGCAAAUGAAAAGCAUUGAGCUCGAAUGUUGUGAAAAGAAAAAUUCANGAGAAAAAGAAAAGAANAGAAGAAAAGCAUGAAGAGGAGCUCAAUGAAAAAGAAAAAGGGGAAAAAGUUGGGAAUAAGUGAGAUUGGUGAGGAAGAGAGUUGUGCUUAAAUUGUUGAAUAUUUUGAAAGCUCUCUUAACUCAAGGACUUUGUAUUCCGGAAAAACCAAUUUUUCUUGUUAGCCCAACCUCAUUACAAGGCUUGAAAAAGUCCUUUUGAUGGCAUUUGCAUGUAAAGAUGUUGAUUGUUUGAGAUGAAUGGCAAUUUUUUUUCAUGUGACUUGUGAACAAUAAAGAGUGGAGUGUCACCUUAAACACUUGAGUGAUUGAGUGAAACACUUGCUUGGUAUGAACUGUUAAUUUUCAUGAGUGCAUUUUUGCUUAGUGGAUUGGUCAUUCAUAAUGUGUAACAUCUGUUGUGCAAUCUCUGGAUUGAAAACAUGCACGCAUCUUAUUUUGGAUUUCACUGAGGAUAUUGAAUUGAGUAGUUUUGUCUUGUACUUUGGGAUUGUUGAAACAUUGGAUGGAAGAGGAUAAAGCCAAGUUUUGGUUUCUUUUGUUUUGUUUGCUUGAGGACAAGCAAAGUUCUAAGUUUGGGGUGUUGAUGAAGGUUGAAAAACAGUUAUUUUCAUAUGUCAUUUUAGACCUAAUUACNNNNNNNNNNNNNNNNNNNNNNNNNNNNNNNNNNNNNNNNNNNNNNNNNNNNNNNNNNNNNNNNNNNNNNNNNNNNNNNNNNNNNNNNNNNNNNNNNNNNNNNNNNNNNNNNNNNNNNNNNNNNNNNNNNNNNNNNNNNNNNNNNNNNNNNNNNNNNNNNNNNNNNNNNNNNNNNNNNNNNNNNNNNNNNNNNNNNNNNNNNNNNNNNNNNNNNNNNNNNNNNNNNNNNNNNNNNNNNNNNNNNNNNNNNNNNNNNNNNNNNNNNNNNNNNNNNNNNNNNNNNNNNNNNNNNNNNNNNNNNNNNNNNNNNNNNNNNNNNNNNNNNNNNNNNNNNNNNNNNNNNNNNNNNNNNNNNNNNNNNNNNNNNNNNNNNNNNNNNNNNNNNNNNNNNNNNNNNNNNNNNNNNNNNNNNNNNNNNNNNNNNNNNNNNNNNNNNNNNNNNNNNNNNNNNNNNNNNNNNNNNNNNNNNNNNNNNNNNNNNNNNNNNNNNNNNNNNNNNNNNNNNNNNNNNNNNNNNNNNNNNNNNNNNNNNNNNNNNNNNNNNNNNNNNNNNNNNNNNNNNNNNNNNNNNNNNNNNNNNNNNNNNNNNNNNNNNNNNNNNNNNNNNNNNNNNNNNNNNNNNNNNNNNNNNNNNNNNNNNNNNNNNNNNNNNNNNNNNNNNNNNNNNNNNNNNNNNNNNNNNNNNNNNNNNNNNNNNNNNNNNNNNNNNNNNNNNNNNNNNNNNNNNNNNNNNNNNNNNNNNNNNNNNNNNNNNNNNNNNNNNNNNNNNNNNNNNNNNNNNNNNNNNNNNNNNNNNNNNNNNNNNNNNNNNNNNNNNNNNNNNNNNNNNNNNNNNNNNNNNNNNNNNNNNNNNNNNNNNNNNNNNNNNNNNNNNNNNNNNNNNNNNNNNNNNNNNNNNNNNNNNNNNNNNNNNNNNNNNNNNNNNNNNNNNNNNNNNNNNNNNNNNNNNNNNNNNNNNNNNNNNNNNNNNNNNNNNNNNNNNNNNNNNNNNNNNNNNNNNNNNNNNNNNNNNNNNCAAUCUCUUUUGCAUGUUAAUAUUUUUGUUCUCAAAUCAAAUUAAUUAUUUUUAUUUUCAAGUCUUAUUAUUUUAAUUCACGUGAACGAGAAAGCCUUUCGAGUCUCUUGGGAAGAACGAUAUUGGGUUUUACCAAUUAUAUUACUUGAACAAUUUGGUACGCUUGCCAAUCCGUCAACAGCUUUGUUGGUCGAACCAAUAUAAAAUUUAGUGUUUGAUUUUUCUAUUCUUGCACUCUUUUAAUUCAGUCGACUAUAUUUGUCUAGUAGUCAACUACUUUUUUCUGCUGCAUUACAUUUUCAAUAACUUGCAUUUGAAGGAAAGAUCGAAAGCUUUGAACUUUCAUACUAAGAUUGCGAAAAGAUUUUAAAUUUGAACUAACACCAAUUCACCCCCGCUCUUGGUGUAAAACAAAGCCAACCUGUUUCCUAACAGAAAGAAGGUUGUUGUGGGUGUCAGUUUGGAGGUGAAAUUGGGUGUCGGUUUGAAAGAAGGGUACUCUACUUUAAGUCAUAAAGAAGCAAAGUUUUGUUGAUUUAGUUACUAUUUUAAUGACUCUGUUAGGUUCUGAAACUUUUCGUUGUGGUUUCUCAUACGAUGCCAAUGAAAUAUAUAUAUAUAUAUAUAUAUAUAUAUGCUUAUUUUCCUCUAUUUUCUUGUUUAGCAAUGGAAUUAGCUUUUUCUUUGGAGAAAUUGGUGUUGAUGCUUGAGGACAUCCUGUGAGGCUUUCAAACAACCAAAGGAAUCUGGAUGGCUAGAUGCAAUGGCAUAGAGCCUUGUACACUUGUUAUGGAUUUGGAGGGUACUGAUGGAAGAGAACGUGGAAAGGUGUUGUUUUUUGUGUUAUAUAUUAACUAAUGUUGCUUGUAGCAGUGGUCAAAAUUCAUUCUAUUGUCAACAUCCAAUUGCCAUUUGGAUUUAUUGUAAAUUGUUUUGAAAUUCAUAAAUUCCUGUUAUUCAAGACUUACUUUAACAUUCCUUUUCCUUUUGAUGGAUUAGGAACAUUUUACUUCCUAUGAUUAGUUCUUCUGGUUUAUUGAAAUUGUUUCUUUCUCAGGAUGACACUGCUUUUGAAAAGCAGAGUGCUUUACUUGCUCUUGCUGUAUCAGAUAUUGUGUUAAUAAACAUGUAAGUUUUUUCUUCGCCUUUUUAGUUCUCACACUUGUUACAUCUUGAAUACGGACCAGUUUCAGAAUCUUUUAAGUUUGUAAUGUAGUUCUAGUUCUUGUUUUAAUCUUUUUCCAUUUUGAAUCUUCUUUCUUUGUGCGAUUGAUUCCCCUCCUCUGCAAUGGUAGUGAAGGUGGUGCCAUGACAUUGGCCGUGAGCAAGCUGCAAAUAAGCAACUUUUAAAAACCAUCUUUCAAGCAUGUGUUGUUGUCCAAUGGACUCAAGCAAUUAUCUUGAAUCUUGAAACUUGUCAAAUUGUCAUUUACCAUCUACCUAACUGUUUGCUCAAUUUUGCUUUCAGGUCAUGAUGAGAUUUUUUAGUCCAUGAAAAACAACAUUGUUGAUUGUCAUACAUGAGAAAACAAGGGUUUGUAAUAAAUGUUUAUUGUCUUGUAAUAAUUGUUUGUUAUAUAUAUUUUUAUAUUUUAUUUUUUAAUUUUAAAUACUUCUAUUUGUUGUUGAUGUGGUUAACCUUUCUCUUCUAUAGACGCCACUUGAAAAUCUUUUGCAUUUAUUUAAAUUCAUUAACAAUUAUAAAAGGAUCUUAAUGCCUUGCAUUUAUUUAAGAUUUUCUAUUCCAUAGUGACAAGUCAGUUACGAAAUAAGAUUCAUAUCAACAUCUUGUUAUAGUGCUUCCCUAUGAAAAUAUGGAGUAUCAAGGAGAAGAAACUAGGAUUAUUCCAUCAAAAGCAAGUUUUUCUACGUGUUCACCAACAUUACAGGAGCUAAUUUCUAACGGGUAUGUAAUUUACCAGAUUCCCACAUUCCCAUUUUUCCUCAUCAUUAUCUUUAACAGAAAAAAUUGAGUAUGCAUAUAUAUAUAUAUAUAUAUAUAUAUAUAUAUAUAUAUAUAUAUAUAUAUAUGAUAUUCUAAGAAGAAAGAUUACAUCAUGGUUGAAGGUUAUUUUUGUCUACGCUGCAGUGUUUCCCUGCUUCCAAAGUAAAUGGUGUGUUUUGUUAAUUAAUUAAGACAAAAAAGGAUGUAGAUGAACUGUGUGUUUUUCCCAAAGCAAAUAGGUUGGAAGGGUACUGGAAGUAGUUUUCUUGGGUUGAUGCAGCUGUUGUUUGAUGUCCAUUUGACGCUAAAUUAUUGGUUGGGUGCAAGCUUUUAUUUUUUUUCUUCUUUGCUUAAUGAUGCAGUUUCAGGUUCAUUUAAAGCUAUGUUAAGUGUUGCAAAUGAUGAAAUUUGGAGGAAGGCUUGGUGUUCAAUACUUGGAUGCUGGUUCGUGGUCAACUAUUGCAGUAGCUUUAAUUCUUGCAUUUUUCAGCUAGAUUAAGGUUGAUGAGUUGAUAUUUUCUUGACUGUAUUUAGUUUAUUGCACUUUAAUAAAUCAGGGAAUUGUGUUUAAUUAUCCAUUAUUUCCCUGUUUUUCCUAAUUCUGCUUACUUUGGUCGGAAAUUCGUAUUUUCACUAAUUUGAAUUUUCUAAGCUGAUUAAUUGCAUUUUUGGUUGCAGGGAAAUUUUGGGAAACUUUAAUUAGGAUUUUGUGUAUUGGGCCCGUUUUAGUGACAAUAUUGUAGAAGCCCAAUGUGUAGGACACUUGGCAAAAGCCUUAGGGUUUCUUUUUUGGGUGGACCCCACCCAUUUUGAAGUGAUUCUCAACAUUUAGAGAGGAAAAGCCGACCACACACAUUUCUAAGCUCCAACAUUUCAUUUUGCAUGGUUUCCAUGAACUCUCUCUUGGGAGCUUGUAGGGUUUCGAUUUUUUUUAGCUAUGGAAUGACCAAGAAUUGAUUUUUCUUCUUCGUUUUCUUGCAACUUUACUUAUUCUUGCUUAAGGGAAGGGAGAUCUAUCACUCCUCUUCUUGCAUUUUCCAUUGAAUGUUGAAAGCUUGAGCUUGGAGGGUGGUUCUUUGCAUGUUCAUGGUGGUUCCUUGGGUUGAAUGAAGAGUCCUUUUGCGUUUUGCUUCUCCUUUGCUACCAUACUUUCGUGUUUCCUUUUAGUUUUCUUGGUUGGAUGAUGAAAAUGAAGUUCUUGUUGCGUUUUGUAGUGAAGAAAGCUUGAGUUGGCGUAUGGGUGUUUGAGGUUUGAAAUCUUUUCUUCUUCUGCUUUUGUUUGAUGGUUGGAAGACAUAUUUUGAGCUGGAACAUUGUGUUGCAUUACCAUGGCUGGACGGUCUGCACUUGCAAGCUAGGGAUUCCAUUUUGUUUUUAGCAAAAGUUUGAAGAAAAGUGAGUGUUGGGUUGGUUUGUAGAAGUUAGACUUUGGGUUUGUUGUUCUUGUAUUACUUUGCAAAUGGAAACUUGGUUUAAUAUGUGUAUGCACGGUGAUGAUAGGUGAAGAAAGAGUUUUGGUUGUUUGUUUUGGUGGAGGAAAACCGUUUGGUGUUGAAAAGGGAGAGAGAAGGUGCAUUUAAUUUUUUUACCACUUUAGGGCAAACAUAUGAGAUGCUUAUUUUCACUAAAGGAAUGUUUCCAUUUUGAGCUUUGUCUUUAGCUAGCAAUGUUGCCGAGAAUUCAUUGUUGUGGAGAAGCUUUUGGGGUUGUUUUCUUUCCUUUGACUUUGCUUACAUGGCACCUUGGUUGAAGCACUCAAAGUAUCUUUCAUUUAGCCUUUGGUUUUAAGCACUUUUUGCCACUUUCACUAGGUAAGUCUUGGCAUUUUGGCCUUGAGAAUGUGAGAGCCAAAUUUUGCUGCAUGGGAGGAGAGAAGGGACAAUUUUGUAGUGAUGUGGAAGGCACAUGUUGAUUUUCUUGGAGUAUGAAGCACAUGGGUCAAAAAGACAACAUAAUGAAUUGUUUAUUGAAGGAAGAAAGUCAAAUUAGAUGUUGGUGUGCAUGAGGUCACGACCAUGAAGGUUUUUUAGGCCAUUUUCAAUAGCAAAUUCUUUUGGUAAAUGGGAUAGGUCACGUGAAUAGUAGAGUAUCGCGUAAGACUUGAGAAGNGAAUAAAUUUGGUGGUUAUAUGCAAAGAACAAAAAUAAACAUGCAAUGCANUUGAUGCAAUUGGUUUUGAGAAACUAUGNAUGAAUGGUGUUGUUGGGGUUUACAAUUUCAUCUUAUCCACUCUCAUAUAUCUACUCUUCUUAUUUACUUCACUUAUUUAUCUAAUUGCCAUGCACACUUUCUUAUUUACCCUUAACCCAAUCCCUUGGUGAAAAGAGCCUAUUAUUAAUUACCGGCUUGCUAUCCCUAGCCUCCCCUAGUAACCAAUAAUGUAAUUCGAUCAGAAGCAACUACAAUUGACCGUCCUACCCCUAUCCCUAGGCGAUAUUCGCAUAAUCAAGGAAUUUCCCACCAGUUCAUGACCUUACCGUAUGUCCCCAUAUCGAUAAAGACAAACAUCUUUUACUCAAUGAGUUAAACCGUAAAAGCAUUGAGCACAGAUGUCCCCUUGUAAUUCGCACUGGGGCUAUAUAUAAGCCCAAAAAGAUAAUAGAUAGAUUACAGAAAGAUUUACAGAAUCUAGCUAAAAAAACAAACAACCGCCCAGGCACCUAAAUUCACCGCUCAACGGUUUGCCUUGUGCCGCUUUGACCGCUCAGUGGUCAGUUUUGCCGCUAAGCGGUUUCCCUCUAAUUGCUCUAAGUGCUUAGCGGACCAUUCUGGCGCUCAGCGGCUUGCUUGACCCUUCUUUUCAUUAUUUUUCUCCUUCUUUCAUGGGUCUAAGUCCACCUUACUUCACUUCCAUCUUUAAUUCAUCUAAAAACCCUGCAAAACAAGCAUAAUAUCUCUAAAACCAACUUUUGACUCUCACAAGACACAACUAAGUGUUUUGCUUGAUUUAAAGCUCAUUCUAAGUCACAAAGGGUGUUUUACUAUCAAAUUUAAGCAUGAAAGUAACGAUUUUUAGACCGUUAUCAUAACCCCAAACUUAGAACUUGGCUUGUCCUCAAGCAAACAAGACAAAACUUGGCUUUCCACUUCUUCAUCAAAUAAUUCACACUUUUCAAAACUCCUUUUUCUCAUGACAAGUUAUUAGACAAUUUCAAAUUUCAGUGGAAUCCUAUAAAGAUGCAUGCAUGCUUUCAAUCCAGCUUAAUUCACAUAUUCAAUCUUGUUCCAACAGAUGUUUCAUUCAUGAAUGAUUAAUCAACUAAACAUAGAUGUUAACAUGGAUUUAACAAUUCUCACCAAGCAAGUAUUUCACUCAAUCACUCAAGUGUUUAGGAGGUCACUCUACUCUGUACUGUUCACAUGUCACAUAAAACAAUAUUGUCAUUCAUCUAAAACAAUUAACAUCUUCACAUGCAAAUGUCAUCACAAGGACUUUUUCCAAGGCUUGUAUUGUGGCUGGGCUAUCAAGAAAAUUGGUUUUUCUGGAAUACAAAAUCCUUGAGUUAAGAGAGUUUAAAUCAUUAGUCAAAGUUCAAGUACACCCUCCUUUUAACCAAUCUCACUCAUUCCCAACUUUUUCCCUUUUUCAUUUUACAUCGAUUUCUUCUUUACAUGCUUUUUCUCUUUUCUUCUUUUCUUUUCUUUUCCUUUCACAUGCAUUUUUCUUUUUCAUCUUUUGAACUCAAUGCUUUUCUUUUUCUUUUUCCUUUCACUUUCCCCAUUCAACCCCAAACUUGAACCUUUUCAACACAUAUAAUUAUUCUCAACCCUAACUCAAGGUAAAUCAAUUCAAACAAGGGUUUUUAUACUGUUUAAGGUCAAGGUUCAAAAAGGGUAUAUCAUUUAAAAUUCUUUGGGUGAAAAUUUGGCUAAGUAAGAGUUUUCCAAGCAUGGCCUUGAUCAUAUGACAUAGACAUGCAAUUCAAUCAAUUAUCAAGAUUAAGUCAAUACCAUUCAUGAUUCCCUGUAAACAGUGCACACAACAAUAAAACCCUGAAACUCAAUACCUCACAUAAUCAUGCUUUCUCACUUCUCACAUGAAUCCUGCUUAGCAUCAAAAUCACAAUCAUGAAUCACUUACUCAUCAUCAACCUGGAUAUCAACAUUCACACAUUCUCAAUCAUCAUCCACAGUCAAUCAUCAAUAGUAAACAACUAAUCAUGCAAUAAAAUUGAACCAUCAUCAGGAUCAGUGUACAAGCCAAGCAUAGACACAAGAAUAAAACCUAUACUAUUAAUUUAAAGUACAAGAGAAAAAGAAAAAUCUUGUUCUAGUGCAGAUAACAUCUAUCAGUAGAUGUUAUCUCAUGAUCUUCCUCCAUGGUUGGAGCUUCAGCUGCUCCAACUCUGAUUCCUUCCUCUUGUUUCCCAUAGUCUUGAUCCUUUUUUCUGAUGAGGAGAUCCUGCCUGCAUCAAGUACAAUUCACAAAACCACAAGAAAUCUCAUUACGCAUUAGUAGAAUACAAAAGUUCUUUCAAAGAAUGUGGAGGAAUCAACCCCAAAUAGUUGGGCUCUAAAAUAACCCUAAACUUGGAUGAAAAAGUGAUAAAAUGUGGGUUUUCAAGAGAGAGGAUGAUAGGCGAAGUGUUGGGAAAUCUUUGAAAGAAUGUUUGAAAGUGAAAGAGAGGUUAUGGGUCUAUUAGAGAGUGCUUGGGCGAACCCUAAGGGGUAGAAAAAUCAGAUAAUCUUUUAAAAAUGCUUGUACCCCCAACGACGCCACCGCUCAGCGGUGCGCGGUUUACACCCCUCCUUUUUUUUUCUUCUUUUUAAAACAUUUUAACCCUUUAAACCUUCAAUUUCAACUUUCAAAAUUUAAUUUUUAUGCAAUUCCCAAUCACUUAUCUCACAUAUGCGACUAGAACGAGAAUUAAAACAUGCAAAAUAAAUCAAUCAACUGGGUUGCCUCCCAGGUAGUGCUUGUUUAAUGUCACGAGCCUGACCCAAACCUUCCUAGGACCCAUCAGUAGGUGCAAAUCUUACCGUCACCCAUCAAUAGGUUUACCUUCCUGUAUCCUUUAGCAGAUACCUAAAUCUUCUAGCAUCCAUCAGUAGAUGCUAUCAUCACUGCCAUCAGAAGUAGCAUAUAACCUAAACAAAACUUAGACACACAAAUAAUCAUAAAGAAAAAGUUAGAAAAUGGGUUGCCUCCUAAAGCUCUUUUUUAACGUCAUUAGCUUGACCCGGUAAAGCCCAAACACCCAUCAGUAGGUGUUGAUCCUCUUUGUUUGAUAUUCUUUUCUUUUUCUUCAGAAAAUUGAGAACAUCAAGCACCUAUUUCCAUAUAUCAAUCAUAGGAACUUUAAUCUCCAAUUUAUUGAAGAUCUCCAUAAAGCACUUGACCUUAUUUUCCUUCCUAUGAUAUUUUUUUGAAUGAGGAAUGGGUUUUUCAUAUGAUCCCUUCUUCUUUCCUCUCUUCCUCUUUUUCUUUGAAUGAGGAAUGGGUUUUUCAUAUGAUCUUUUCUUCUUUCCUCUCUUCCUCUUUUUCUCACUUUUCUCCCUCAACUUUCUCUUUUUCAUUUUUCUUUCUUUCUUUAUUUUCACAAUUUUUCUCUUUUUUUCUUUUCUCUCAACUACUGCCUUUUCUCCCUCAUCAUCAUUAUCUUCCUUAACCAACUUUUCUGUUUCUUCUUCCUUUAAAUUUCUCUAUAUCUUUUCUUCCUCAAUCUUUUCCUCCUUUUUCUUCAAUUUUUUCUCCUCUAUCUUCUCCUCCUUUCUCUCCAUGCUUUUCUCCUUUAUUUUCUCCUCAUAUAUCUCUAUCUUUUCCUCCUCUAUCUUUUCCUUAUUUCUCUCCAAUUUUUUCUCCCCUAUCUUCUCCUCAUUUAUGUCUAUAUCUUUUUCCACUAUCUUCUUCCUUGAAAUUUCUCUAUAUCUUUUCUUCCUCAAUCUUCUCCUCCUUUUUCUCCAAUUUUUUCUCCUUUAUCUUCUCUUCAUAAAUGUGUAUCUAUUUUUCCCCUAUCUUCUCCUUACAACAACCUUUUCUGUUUCUAUCUCUUCUAUCCUUUUCACCUCUCUCUCCCUCUCUAUCUUUUCCCCAUCAACAACCUCAUCAAUUGAUGUCUCCAAAUUGCUGAAGGUAACUUCAUAGCUCUUGGAAUCGUACUUCUCUAGAAAUUUGUCAAAAUUUUCUUUAGAUCUUUUGAGUUGUUCUCCCAAAUCAGCUAUCUUUUGUCAUAGUUGUUGAUCAUACUCCCACAUGUCUAUUGGUAAAAAGGUUUGUUGUUGCCUCUCUUCCAUGCUUCUAUGAGAAGAAAAUCUUGUAUACAUGUCCUGCGAAACAAAUUCGUCAUUCUUUGUAUUCUCCUCUAUGCUUUUGACAUGGCAUACUCCCGAAUUUAUGACCCUCUGAAAAAGUUCAUCAGACUCUGCACUACUCUUAAUCGGAGUAAAUUAUGGCUCAACAGAUUGCCCAAAUUGGCUUUGAUCCAUGUAUGAGUGAGGUUCCCACCAGGGGUUGAAAUUAUUUUGGUAGAAUUGAGUAUCCAUAUAAUCAAAUUCUUGUCCAUACUGCAUCUUGCAAACAUUAGGCACAAAAUCCUAGUAGCACUUUUUUUUUAUAAAAAGAAAAAAAAUAAAAAGAUAAAAAGAUAAAAUAGAUAUAUACAAUCAAGUCAAACUUAAUCAGUUUACACUACUAGAUAAGUUAAACCACGAGUCCCCGGCAACGGUGCCAAAAACUUGUUAAGUCCCUGGCAAGUGUACCAGAUCGUUAUCAAGUAAUAUAAACGGGUAAGUCUGAGUAUCGUUUUCCCAAAGGACUCUUAGGCCUUAACUUUCAUGUAACCUAAUCGCGUAAGACUUGAGAAGAGGAUAAAUUUGGUGGUUAUAUGCAAAGAACAAAAAUAAGCAUGCAAUGCAGUUGAUUCAUUGGUUUUGAGAAACUAUGNAUGAAUGGUGUUGUUGGGGUUUACAAUUUCAUCUUAUCCACUCUCAUAUAUCUACUCUUCUUAUUUACUUCACUUAUUUAUCUAAUUGCCANGCACACUUUCUUAUUUACCCUUAACCCAAUCCCUUGGUGAAAAGAGCCUAUUAUUAAUUACCGGCUUGCUAUCCCUAGCCUCCUCUAGUAACCAAUAAUGCAAUGCGAUCGGAAGCAACUACAAUUGACUGUCCUACCCCUAUCCCUAGGCGAUAUUGGCAUAAUCAAGGAAUUUCCCACCAGUUCAUGACAUUACCGUACGUCCCCAUAUCGAUAAAGACAAACAUCUUUUACUGAAUGAGUUAAACAAUAAAAGCAUUGAGCACAAAUGAGAACCCAAUAAUUGAUAAAUAAGUAUAUGACAAGCAUAUGAAAUAAAUAAAAAUUUGAAUAUAUGAGAGUUUCAAAAGAUUACAUUGUUCCCCAACAACAAAGGGUUUAGUUCACCAUAAUCAUGGUGAAACUAGAUUAAAAUAAUGAAAGAAUGGAAGAAAUAACCCUAAACUUGGUUGAAUGGGGCCUAAGCAUCCAAGGAACCCCCUCCAAGGUGUGGAGUAGCUCUGGAUGUUUCUCUCUGCCAAAAGAAUACCCUUCUAAUUCGCACUGGGGCUAUAUAUAAGCCCAAAAAGAUAACAGAUAGAUUACAGAAAGAUAUACAGAAUCUAGCUAAAAAAAUAGACAACCGCCCAGGCGCCUAAAUUCACCGCUCAGCGGCAAAACUGACCAUUCUGGCGCUCAGCGGCUUGCUUGACCAUUCUUUUCAUUAUUUUUCUCCUUCUUUCAUGGGUCUAAGUCCACCUUACUUCACUUUCAUCUUUAAUUCAUCUAAAAACCUUGCAAAACAAGCAUAAUAUCUCUAAAACCAACUUUUGACUCUCACAAGACACAAUUAAGUGUUUUGCUUGAUUUAAAGCUCAUUCUAAGCCACACAGGGUGUGUUUUACUAUCAAAUUUAAGCAUGAAAAUAAUGGUUUUUAGACUGUUAUCACACAGGGAACGCGAGCUUCUCCUAUUCACGAGACCAAGCAAGGGAACUUGAACUAUAGCUAUUGAGAACUUCCUUUGACAAACAGUAUUAUGCAAGAGCUUCUGUUCAACAACGUUACUUCUGAAAUUUUCAGAAGUGAAUUAUAUAGCCAGAUACUCUGAAUAUCAAAGGUCAAGUCCCAACUGCCACUAAUAAUCGAUUAUUCAAGUCUGUUACAGGUUUUUUCAAAAUAUGAGAAUCGAUUAUGUGAGGUGAUAAUCAAUUACUCCUGAAAGAUUCUUGAUAGUCGAUUAUUGCUUAAUAUAAUUGAUUAUUUCAGUACAAAAUAUAAUUUUUACAAGAUUUGAAGACUUUCCUAUUACACUUAUUUUCUACAAAGUGGUUUUAAACAUUUCUAAUACUUUCUUAAGGUAAAAAUUCUUGUAGCAUCAUCAAAACUAAUUUCUUCAAUAUUUACCAAUGCUCCUCAUUGGUAACAUAUAGCGCAUUUGCUUCCUGGGUUGGAAGGACACUGGAUGUAAGCAUUAUUGGCCGAACCAAUAUAAAAACCAGUGUUUGAUUUUCUUUAUCCCUGCACUCUUUAUUUCUAGUCGAUUUUAUCUGUUUAGCAGUCAACUACGUUUUUUCGCUGCAUAGAAAUUUCAUUGCUUGCAUUUCAAGAAAGAUAAAAAAGCUUUGCAUUUUUGUUUAAAGAUUGCGAAAAGAUUUUGUUUUUGAACUAACACCAAUUCACCCCCCCUCUUGGUGUAAAAUGAAGCCUAUCUGUUUCAUAACAUGUUAUGUUUAAUUUAAUGUUUUAGUUUAGUUCAAUUGCAUUCACAAACUCUUCACAACCCACCCCCCCACUAUGUGUUUGACCUGAUUCUUGAUCCAUGGUUUGGUCCUUGAGAGACGACCUAGGAGUCAAUUCCUUAUAUUGCAUUUUUAAUUCACAUCAAAUUUGUAUGGGGUGCGACACCCAUCAAAUUUUGGCACUGAUGUCAGGGACCAACGGUUCGGUUUUACGUCUUUUGUUGUGUUAGUGUGUGUUGUGUUUUGUUUGUGUUGUGAUUGUGAUGUUCUGUUUUGUGUGUGCGUUAUUGUGUGUGCGUGUCACAUGUUUAUUUGUAUUGUGUUUUGUGUGUUUCGUAAAAUCUAGCAUUUCCUUUCUUCCUUCCCCCUUGUUUCACUAUGUCUGCCUAUUUUGAUUAUGAUCAUACUGCUUUUUCUGCCUGCGCCUAUGACUGUGAUACUCCUUUUCGAUCUAACUCUAAGUAUGGUUCUCAUGUGUACUCUGCUGAUUUCUAUGUUGAGAAAAGUAUGAUUCCUUCUCCAUCUCAUGAGUGUGCUCCUUGGUAUCCGUUUCCACUUGAUGAGGAGGAUAUUCAUUGUGUUUUCAACACUAGACUGAUACAUUGGCUGCCUAUGUUUCAUGGUUUUGUAGGUGAAUGCCCACAUAGACAAUUGGAGGAGUUCUACAUCAUUUGCUCUUCAAUGAAACCUGCAGAUGUCCUGGAUGAGGACAUUUUCUUAAGGGCAUUUCAACACUCAUUACAAGGAGUAGCAGAGGAUUGAUGUUAUUGUCUUAUUCCAGGAUCUGUCACCAGUUGGGAAGAUCUUGACCAUCAAUUUCUAGACGAAUUCUCCCUUGUGCAGUAUGGUUACAACUGUUAGAAUCGCUGCAACGGAAUUAUUAGCGUUGAACAAACCAAGAGGGGGGGUGAAUUAGUUAUAUUCUUUUAUCGUGCCUUUUAUUAUUUUUCUCUUAAUUUUUCUUACUGAGCUGAUAAUUAAAUAUAAGUAAGAGAUUAAGGGAAAGAGAAAAAUGCACAGGUGAUUUUAUCCUGGUUCAGAUCACAAGGAUCCUACGUCCAGUCGCUUAUCUCUAACAAGAUAAACCUUUUUCACUAUCACAAAACAAUUACAAAUAUUAGUCACAAAGAAGAAAUUAAAGGCACACGUUUAUAUUAAAACCCCUCUUGGUUUGUUAUUCCACGCUAACAAUUCCGCUGCAGCCGAUUCUAACAAAAAUGAGUUCCUACACCAUAGUUGCCCUUUGUGUGCAAAAACUGUACCAGAAGUACCCACUUAUUUUGGCUUUGGUACCAGUUAUGUUCCUGCACCAUGACUUUUACUAAAUAGGAUUCCUUUGCCACCAAUUUCUUCAUAAAUUAUAUAAUAAUUUGCUCCAAAUUACUUAUAAGUGGAAAAAAUUAUUGCAAAGAAAUUAGGAACUUCAAAAUGAGUUUCAUGUUCAUAAUUGACCUUCGUGUGCAAAAACUUAACUUGAAUUACCCACUUAUUUUUCCUUUGGUACCGGUUAUGUUCUUGCACCAUGACUUUUGUUUGUUGUUCUUAAACCAACCUUUAAUCAACCUUUAAUGAACUCUCGAUGGGUGGCACAUAGUAAGGUGUGUGGGUGGGAGGAACACUCACGAAAACACCUCUUUUUCGAUUGCUGUUGCAAUCAAAGUUUCCAACGACAUCUGUCACCGAAACAGACAAAAAUUCGUAAGGCGGCACUCUGGCAGACAACGAAAAUGGGUGGGUGGGAGGCACACUUGCGAACACUCUCUCUCUAGGUUUCGUUCACUCUGACGGCAAUGGGUGACUGGGUGAAGGGAAGAGGAGAAUCUCUCUAGGUUUCGAGCACUCCGACGGCGAUAAUAGGUGGCUGGGUGGAGGAGAGACUCUCUCUAGGUUUCGCGUUCUCGGAUUUUCUCUCGAAACUUUCUCAGAUUUGAAAUCUGAAAAGAGAAGAUGAUCCCAAAACUUGAAACUUUGUCCCAAAUUCCAUUGCCACGUAAUUCUCAACUUUAAAAAAUAAUUUCCAUGUGCACCAUUCAGAUUUUGACAGGUGGACCAUAUCUAAAUGUUGUCAAAUGUUAUUUUUCAAAUAUUAUUAUCCAAGAAAAUUGGAGGCAUCUCUACUAUAUUACUUCACACAUGUCCAACUAAAAUUGUAAAGUUUGAGUUUAAAUAAGUUUUAUAGUUUUCAUAACUUUUGGUGCUUCCAAAUUUUGAUACCUACUAUUUACUAAAUACGUUAAUUGGACCCUGAAAAUAAUUUUAUACGACUGUAUACGAAUUUUUUUUGUGACAGGUAAAAUAAAUUUAUUAUUACAGGUAUUCAGAUCAUAUUUGUGGGAAUUAUAGAAAAUUUUCUCUUUUUAUAAUGCCGUAAAAAGUUAUCAUAAUAAAUUUGGUUUAUUGUGAUAAGUAUAUAAGUAACAAUUAUAAUAAAUCUAAUUUACUAUCACGCAUGUUUAAAAAUAUGUUAUAAUAAGUUUAGCUUAUGAUACAUUUUUGAAAAACCUGUGAUAGUAUGUCUAGUUUACUGUAAUACAUUUUCCAAUUACCUGUAAUAAUAAUUAACAUAUUUUAAAUGACAUAAGGAAACAUUGUUAAUUGCAUAAUUUACUUUCUUAAUUAACAUAAUUGAUUGACAUUUUACUAAGAACCUUUAGAAUUAUUUUUUUCACCUUAAAAGAAAACAUAGUAAUUAAGCAAACCAAAUAUGUUGAGCAUUAUACUGAUGAAAUUUAGAUUCUUUUGUUUUAUGUGUGCAGGAAGAUAUAUACAGCCAAGAUUAAAAAUAAAUGUUCAGCACAUCCAAAUUUGUUCCAGUAAUUUGGAAUAGAAGCUUAUAAAUAAUUUCUUUAACACCUUAACAAAAUAAAGAAUUAGAAGAACAAAAUAUUAACACCUUUGAUGAUAAUUUUAAGAAUAUAAAGAGGUAACGAAAAAUAUAGAAAAAAAACUUUAUAAUAGAAAUCUUCCUAAUAAUAGAUAACUUUUUUAGUUUUAAAAUGGGCUAGAAUUCAAUAAAUUUAAUAACAUAUUUUAGUUUUAAUAAAAGUAUUAACAAAAGAUCUAUUGAUUUUUGAAAAAUAAUUAAUGGUCCCUAUUUUCGUCACAUGCGUUCGUUUUGAUCUUUUAUUUUUUUGUUCAAUGUUGUCUUAAAGAAUGUAAAUUUCGUUUAAUUUGGUCAUUUUUGCAAACGUCGUUUAAAUCGUUAACGACAGACAGUCUAGUUGUGCACAACGUGUUGAUGUGGCAUUUAACUGCCCACGUGGACUCCUUCAGCCACAUUGAGGUGGAUUUUGAAAGAAAUGUAGUUUAUUUAAUGGAACCCAAAUUUUGACGAGGGUGGAGAGUGAAAUUAGGGUUAGGGUUUUUUACUUUACUUCAGUGAAAGCGAAAGUGAGGUUCGUGGUUAAGCAAUCUUGUUUCAAAUCUUGGUGGUUGAUGAGCCAUGCCUCCUUCCCAAUCUUCUUGUUGUUGUUGCAAUAGCUUUGACCAUCGAAGUUCUAAUUCAUCACUUGGUGGCACUAGUGCAAAAACGUUGUUUAACGUCACCCCUUAGACGUCCGUUUCGUGAAAAUCCGACGUCUACUAUUGCACGGUGGCAUUAUUGUAAAUAAAUUGGAAAACUAGACGUCAUUUUCGAUGUCAGGCAACGUCUAUGACAUCAUAGACGUCAGACCUGCCACAAACUGACGUCCAAUUGCCUGAGGUAUGUGAUAAGACAGUCCAUUGACGUCGGUGAUUCAGGGGACCGACGUCUACUAGGUUGUAAUUAAUGCUAAACAUCAAAUCCCAGGAGCUUAGACGUCGGCUAGAAAGGGCACUGACGUCUACGUCACUGACAGGAAAUCAAACGUCAACCGGUUCAGCUUUAAACGUCAAAUAGACGUCGGAUCCCGUGAAAAAGCAACGUGGAUUGGGCUACAAUUAAUGUUGUUCACCUAAUACCCCAGGCAAUUAUGUUAGAAUCGGCUGCAGCGGAAUUGUUAGUGUGGAAUAACAAACCAAGAGGGUUUUUAAAACAAACGCGUGCCUUUUAAUUUCUACUCAAUUUAACUUACUACGCAAAUAAUAAAUAUAAAUAAAAGAGUAAGGUUGAGAGAAAUUUGCACAGAUAAUUUUAUACUGGUUCGGAUCUNCUCAAUACCCUUCCAUUCUUCGAAAACAGGCCAUCUAACGCUUUUAAUCGAUUAACAUAAGUAUUAAUCGAUUAAAAUGAGUACAACGACUAGUUUUUCAAAUCUGAAACACCCAACGGCUAGUGUUAAUCGAUUAUUCUCAGGAUUAAUCGAUUAACUAAUCGAUUAAAAUUCACUUUAAUCGAUUAUUCCAGGGGCAAUUGGGUUUUCAGUGCUGGCCACAUUUUAAUCGAUUAAAACUUGGUUUAAUCGAUUAAAACAGCUUGUGGAAGAUUCCCAAUAAAGAUAAAUUACAUAUAAACCACAAGAAUCAACCCUAUUACAUUUUAGAGCACUAUUACAUCAUUUUUUAUUAUUAACAAAGCUUUAUAAAAUGCGGAGAUCUUCAAUCCUUCUUUGUGAAUAUUGUCUUGUGCAAAUCUGUUCAUCAUCAAAACUUCAUCUUUUAAUUUUGCUAACACUUGGUGUGCUGAGAAAGCACAAGAAGGCCAUUGGUUGGAGUUUGGUUGACAUACCUGGUAUUAGCCCAUCCACAUGCAUGCAUAGGAUUCUUUUAGAGGAUGGAGCAAAGCCAGUUAGGCAGCCACAGAGACGGCAAAACCCUAUGACUAUGGAUGUCAUCAAGAAGGAGGUGACCAAGCUGUUGAAAGAUGGGACUAUCUAUCCAAUAUCAGAUAGUCAAUGGGUGAGCCCCAUCCAUGUUGUGCCCAAAAAGGCUGACCUCACAGUCCAAAAUUGGCAACUGCCACCAUGAUUAGGGGAGUUUUCUUUUCCCUUCUCCUCACUUUCCCGCUUUUAUUGCACUUGUCCAUGAUCUGUUGAUUGUUCUGAUUCCUGAUCUGAUGAUUGUGACACACUGAGGACAUUCUGUAGUUUAAGUGUGGUCUAUUGGGGAAGACUCUGAUUUUUCUUUGAUUAGUUUAUGUUUUUUGUGUUCAAUUUUUUGUUUUCUAGGUAGUUUUUGUUUUGUUUUGUGUACAAUUUUGUAUGUUUAUCUUAGUUUCUGGACUUUGUUUAGGUUGUCAGUUUUUCCUUCACUUCAUUGAUACUCUGAUUGCUUUGAAAUCCAAGUUUUUCUCUGCUUGGAAAGAAGAUUAUGAUGUUUGAGGUUGAAUUGAUUGUGACAAAAAUACCCUGUGUGAGACUUGAGCCAUUUGAUGAUCUUUCUUGUGUGUGAUAUGUCUCUUUAUUGCUUGCACUUAUGCCUUGGCUUGACACUUUUUGAUGAUUCUUGAUUGAUAUGCAUGUUUGAAAGUGAUAAAGGCAGCUUUGUUGUUGAGCCCUUCUAGCCAAAUGAGCCUAUCCUAUUUUGAUCCAUUGAUGACCCCUUUUGAGCCUAUGCUUUCCCCAUUUCUUUGUUUUGGAGCUUAUACACUAGCCCUAAGUGAAAAAACAUGUUUACCUUAACCGUAGGGAAUUUUGGAGCUUUGGAAUUGUUUUAGGAAUAAGUGUGGUCUCCUGGGAGAUUAUGAUGAAUUGGCUAGUUAGUUCCUCUUAGAGUUAUGUCCAAUAUUGAGAGAAAAGAAAAGAGACAAGAUGAAAAAAAAUAAAUAAAAAAGAAAUAAAUAAAAAAAAAUACAGAAAAAUGAGAAAAAUUAAAAAAAAAUGUGUGAAUGAUGGAGUCAAGAAGAGGAUUAAAUUAGAGGUUUUGGGUGUGAUUUGAAUGUGUUUACAAUUGUUCCCCAUUGCUCCUCCAUUCCUUUUGGUUUGUAGCUUCUCAUCCAUAUGUAUCCUUCCUUGUCCUUGGCCCCAUUACAUCCAUAAAAGACCUUUUGACUUGAACAUGCAUAUGUUUUUGAGUGUUGAUAUUAGAGGCUUGCCAAGUCUAUUUGUGUUUGCUUUCUUGAGUGCAUUGAGUUGAAACUGUUUACCCUAGACACUUGAGAGAAACACUGAUAGUGCAUUUCUGAGGCUCUGUUGCUUUUGAUUCAUCUCUUGAACUGAUUGACUGUUUUCCAUGUUCUGAAUUGCUUGGAUGAUUAUGUGAGUAUUUGCUUUCGUUGACUCUGUGUGGGAUUCUGUCUAUUCUUUUCAUUGUCUAGAUUUCUGGAGAUUUGUGUGAUUCUGUUUUUGUCCUUGUGAGUCUUAGUUGUAUGUAUGUUGAGUCUGUCACCUCCCUGAUGUCCUCUGAUUUGUUCCCUGAUUUGCGUCUUGAUUUUGCCAAGGAGUGCAAAGGACUAAGUGUGGUCUAUUUUGCUAAGUUGAUAUUUUCUUUAUUGUAUUUAGUUUAUUGCACUUAAAUAAAUCAGGGAAUUGUGUUUAAUUGUCCGUUAUUUCCCCGUUUUUCCUAAUUCUGCUUAAUUUGGUAAGAAAUUCGUAUUUUCACUAAUUUGAAUUUUCUAAGCUGGUUAAUUGCAUUUUUGGUUGUAGCGAAAUUUUGGGAAACAUCAUUUGGAGCAUUAGGAUGGUGGCGUGCACAUUAAAGACUCAACAUUUAGUCAUUUCAAUUUUAAUAAAAGUUGUAACUUAGUUUUCUAGAUUUUGUGUAUUGGGCCCUUUUUGUGGCAAAAAUUUGUAGAAGCCCAUUUUUUGUAGGAUAUGUGGCUUUAGGUUAGGGUUUCUUUUUGAAGGUGGACCCCACCAUUUGAGUGAACUCUCGGCAUUUUGAAGCUAGAGACCGAACAUUCUCUUCAAGCACACUUUACACUUCAUUUUGGCUAGGUUUUGAACACUCUCAUGGAGAGCUUUGGUGUUUUCACGGUUUUGAACCAUUGAAUGAACAAAGAUGCAAUUUUCUUCUUUUCUUGCUUGAAUCUUGGUUGCCUUUGCUUGGUGGUGGUGAAAAACCGUCCCAUUUUCUCUUUUAUUUCUUGUUCCUUGAAGUUGGAAGUAUGAGCUUGAAGGUUUCUUCUUGCAUUUUCAUGGUGGGUCUUUGGUUUGCAUGAAGAGCUAUUUUCGUUUUCCUUCUCCUUUGCUACCAUAUUUUCGUGUUUCCUUUUAGUUUCCUUGGUUGGAUGAUGAAAAUGAAGUUCUUGUUGAGUUUUGUAGUGAAGAAAGCUUGAGUUGGUGUAUGGGUGUUUGGGGUUUGAACUAUUUUCUUCUUGUGCUUUUGUUUUGAUGGUUGGAAGUAAAUUACGAGCUGGAACAUUGUGUUUGUUCAUGAUAGCUGGAAGUUUUUGCAAGGGAAGCUAGGGAUUGGAUUUUGUUUUCAUCAAAAGUUUGAAGAAAAGAGAGUUUGAAGUUGGUUUGGAGAAGGUAGACUUUGGGUUGUUGCUCUUGAAUUAUUUUGCAAUUGAACUUUGGGUUUCUUAGGGUUCAUUCUCGGUAUUGAGAGGUGAAGGAAAGCAUUUGAAUGUUUGUGAUGGUGGAGAAACCGAAAUUGAGGUUGGAAGUGAGAGAAAAAGGUGCAUUUAAUUUUUUACCUUAUUUGGGCAAGCACAUGACAGGUUCAUUUUCAUAGAAAGAAGAUUUCCAUUUUGGUCGUUGUCUUUUGUGUUUUGUGUUUUUAUUUCCUUUGACCUUGCUUAUGUUGCACAUUGGUAGAAUAAUUUAAGCACCUUUGUGACUUGUGGAGUUUGGACAGUAACAUUUGCAACAUGUGAGGAGUGUGAGUACGGCAAUUUUGGGUCUUGGAGUGUGGAGUCCGAAUUUUGCUACAUGGGAAGAGAGAAGGGAUGUUUCCAUUGGGAUUGUUGAAGACACAUUUUAAUUUCCUUGGAGAAUGGUGGACAUGGGACAAGAAGUCAACACAUUUUGUGGCUUAUUGAAGGAAGAAAGUAGAAUUGGACAUUGGUUGCAUGAACUCACGACCAAGAGGUGUUCUUAGGCCAUUUUCAUUUUCAAUUUCUUUAGUAGAUGCACAUUGGGUCACGUGAGUUACUAGGAAAAAGUUAUAUUAGUUUAUUUCUUUUGUUUUGAAUUAAUUUGCAUAGUAGGAUUAGUUGCUUUUUAGUUUCUCUAAUUUAGUUUUGCAUUUAACUUAAUUUAACUUUGUUGGUUAGUUGUUUAUAAUAGUGUUGGUGUCUAGUAUUUUAUUUUAUUUUGUCUUAAUGUUGUCUUGUAUUUGUGGUAGAGAUAAUUUAGUUGUCAUGCUAGCUUAAAUUAAUUUGGUUGGUCGUUAACGAUAUUGCACUGUUUCCUUGAGAUUCCUGGACUGUGAUUGUGAUUGCCACUCUGACUUGGUUAAUAUCAAAUCUGUAAUUGCACUUGCAAUUGGGUAUACACUUAGUUGCCCUGUUGAGUCUUCUCUUAGUUGAUGAAACUGCAUGGUGUAAAUUAGAUUUGAUGUUAACACAACGUCUGCUUAGUUCGCUUUUAUGAAAACCGGGUUAACCUUCGCUUAGUUGGUUAACUUUGUUGGAUUAGAAGUUUGAGUCGCAACUUUAUUUUGUUGAUCUGUGAUAGGAAACAUUGUAAUUAAGUUAAUGACCAACCAUCUCCAGUCUGCCUUUUAAACCGUUUCUAAAUCUGUGUUUAAUUAUCAGUUGCGUUAGUGUUUUGAUUUUAUUCAUCCGUAUUCACCACAACAUUUUCACAACCCCCCUACUUCGUGUUUGACUUAAUUCUUGAACCGCAAAAUUGGUCCUUGAGAGACGACCUAGGAGUCAUUUCCUAGUCUAUACUGCAUUCUUUUAUGCACAUUAAAUUUUGCAUGGGGUGCGACACCCAUCACCUAAGUCCAGUGUCCUUCCACAUCCAGGAAGCCAAUGCACUAUAUUAGUCAAGGUUUUUACAACAAGAUUUCUAUAGAGAUCCCCACGUCAAAAGUAUAGACAAUCUCUCUAACCCUCUAACUAAAAGUAUAGGCAGUCAACACAAAGAUAUGCAGUAAGAUAUCCCCUCUUCUGCAAUCUUCAACCCACUUUGAACAGUCCUCAAAGUGUCCAAAACUCCACGAGUUCACCUCCUGUAAUCGCAACAGGACAGCAACAAUCUUUCCAAAGAUUGAUAGAAAACUUGAUCAAUAUGAUGAACACCAACUGUGAAGAUCUUGAUCAAACAAUACGCGCAAUUCACUUCCUCCUUAAGAAACUCUUCCAAGAAAGAUCUCCUCCGUCUUCUUGAUGAGUUCUUGGAGCCUUUACAUAAAGAUCACAAUCUGAAAUAUCAAAUGAAAGCGUUAGAAUAUCCAAAGUUGUAUGUGAUCAAUAGAAACACGUCUAUUUAUAGUUUUCUAUAAACCAGACGCUCCUGUAGUCGACUUUGCUACUGAUGUAGUCGACUGUCAUCAGACAGUUAUAAUAGUUAAAACAAAUUAGCAGCAGUCAUAACAACUAAAUUGAUUUCAUAUUUAAUUCAGUUGACUUGCAUUUAAUGCUUUAGCAAAGAGUUGAAAUAUAGUUGUUACAGCACAAAAGCAUUAACAAAAUUUCAAAACAAAUAACUAACUAAGUCGAAUUCACUACACAUGCAGUCAACUUAGACACUUCAACUUAGUUUUGAAAGACUUUUCAAUGCAAAAUCACACACAACACUGCUUUUGAAAAUUUGUGCAAAGUCACGAGUUUUAAUCGACUUACUUCAUAAUGAAGUCGACUUAAAACUUGCAGUUUUGCCACACAAUAUAAGUCCAACAAAGUGCAUGUGGUUUUCUUUUCUUAAACAUAUGUAAUGCAAUCACAAAAGAUGUAUCAAGUAUAAAAUCAGUGAAUAUUAAUACAUAUAUGAGAAUCAACACAAACAUGUUCUGUAAGAUAUCAUUCACAAUAAAGAAUUGAACAUGUAACACAUAGCAAUACAUGUGUUAUUAAUAACGUGUUAUCAUCAUCAAAAACCAUAGCACUGUGCGAUUAAGGUUUAGCUAAACCAGUGCUUCCCUUAUCAACAGGACCUGCAUAAUCAGUGGUGGAACUUUUAUUUUUCAUAAAUCGAUUGAAUUUUCAUACCACCAUUUUCAUUAUCUCUUUGUCAUUCAGUUCUGUUUCUAAGUCAGCUUCAGGUUCAAGAUUCUUUGAAGCUUUCUUGCUUGUUGCCUUAAGGGAAAUUGACUUCUUUUCUUCAAUUUCUUCCACCUUAUUUAGCCUUCCAAGCUCCAAUUCGUUUUCUCUGAGUUUUCCAAACAAAGUGGCCAUGUUCAUGCUGAUCAAGUUUCUUGAUUCAGAUACUGCAAUGACUUUCGGUUGUCAACUUCUAUUGAGGCUUUUCAAUAUCUUGAUGUUGAUUUCCUCUUUGUUAAACACUUUUCCAAGAGCCAUGAGGUGAUUGACUAUGUGUGUAAAUCGCUUAUGUACUUCAUAAAUAGUCUCUCCCACUUUCAUUCUGAACAACUCGUAUUCUUAUAUAAGAGAAUUCUUUUUGGCCCUUUUCACUUCAUCAGUUCCUUCAUAUGUGACUUCAAGGGCUUCCCAAAUCUCUUUGGUCAUUUUGCAUUGUGAUAUCCUAAAAAAUUCACCCAUUUUUAGUGCUGAUGCAAUCACAUUUCUAGCCUAAACAUCAUAUUGAGUGCUUUCAUUCUCAUCUUGAGUCCACUCAGAAAUUUUUUUCAAAAAACUUUUCCAUUUAAAACAUGAGUGGGCUCAUUUGGACCAUUUAGUUUUGCAUCCAAACUCCUUUAUCAAUCGAUUCAAGAAAGAUUUGCAUCCUUAUUUUCCAAAAAGCAUAAUUUUCUCCAGCAAAUAGUGGUUGUCUAUUUGUUGAAGCACCUUCACCAAAGGUCUAAGAAUUGAAAGUCAUUUUCCAGGAUCAGACGAUUAAUCGGAAAUAGCAAUCAACUUGUUUUUCAAAUAUUUUAUGAAAACCAACUUUGGUGUCAAUUGUUAAAAUAAAAUGGCUCAAUUUCUCAUACCAAGAGUGUUGAGAUUGUUGACAACACAAUAUUUAUAUCACUCUGGUUUUUUAUGAUGACAACACAUUUUUAAUAACACAUGUAUUGUUGAUGUGUUACAUGUUCUAUUGCUUAUUAAUUGAUAUCGUGUUGAACAUGUUUUUGUGUUUAUCUUCAUAUGUGAAUGCACAUUUACUGAGCUUGUAUAUGUUACAUCAUAUCUGGUUGCAUUACACAUGUUUUGAAAGAAGAAAACCACAUGCACUUUUAUGAACUUACAUUGUGUGGCAUAACUGCAAGCUGUACGUCGACUUCAUUAUGGGGGAAGUCGAAUUAAGCUCGUGACUAUGCACAGACUUUUAGAAAAUGUGCUAUGUGAGAUUUUGAAUUGAAAAGAAUUUCAAAGUGAACUUGUGUCGAAGUCAACUGUGUGCGCCACGCAUUCGAAUGUAUUAGUGUCUUGAUUUGGAAUUAUGUUAUGCUCUUGAACAGUAACGACUAUAUUUUUUAAAGUUAGUUAAGCAUUGAAUGUUAGUCAACUAUAUUGAAUGACGAAGUAAUUUGUUUGACUGGACUGCUACUAUUUUGACUUAACUGUUAUAAUUGUUAUAAGACAGUCGACUGUAUUAGUAGCAUAAUCGAGUACAAGAGCGUCAUAUUUAUAGAAAUCUAUAAAUAGACGAGACCUAAGUUGUUUCAAAGAACUUUUGGAAAUCUAAUAUUUUCAUAUUCUAUUUCAAAUUGUUUCUUUGAAGAUUAGAGCUCCAAGAACUCAUCAAGAAGACGAUUGUGAUCUUUCUAUGAAGAGUUUGUGAAGGAUAGUUGUAUCGCGCUCAUUGCUUGAUCAGAAUCUGCAUAAUUGAGGUGUUUUUGGGUUGAUCAAGAUUCGUGUUUGCAUUCCGUGGUGAUUGUUGUGUUACAUGUUGUGACUACAGGGGUUGGACUCAUGGAAUAUGGUACACUUUGAGGACUGUUGCAUAUUGCAGGAGAGGGGACAUCUUCCUGCAAGUCUUGUUGUGUGGUUUGCCUAUAUUUUGGUUAGGGUUAGAAAGUUGUCUUAUAUUUUUGACGUGGAGGUCUCUAUAAGAGUGUUGUUGCAAAAACCUUGACCAUAUAUAGUGCAAUUUCUUCCUGGUAUUGGAAGGACACUGGAUGUAGGCAUUGAGGCUGAACUAGUAUAAAAACCUACGUUUGAAUUCUCUAUCCCUACCCUUUUACAUUCAGUCGAUUUUACAAUUCACAUAGUCAACUUCAAUUUUCUGCUGCACUUAAUUUUCUAUUACCUGCGAUUCAAGAAAGUUUGUAAAGUUUUCUACUUUGUAUUAAAGAUUGUGAAAAGACUCUGAUUUUGAAAACCCACCAAUUCACCCCCCCCCCCUCUUGGUGUUAAAACGAAGCCUACCUAUUUCCCAACAAUUGGCACCAGAGUUGAUUUUCAUAAGAUAUUUGAAAAACUAGCCGACUCUAUUUUUCUUUGAAUCGACUAUAGACCUAGGGAUCGCUUUGUUAAGAGAGUUUCAAAAGAUUACAUUGUUCCCCAACAACCUAGGGUUUAGUUCACCAUAAUCAUGCUGAAUCUAGAUGAAAUACAAUGAAUGAAUGGAAGAAAUAACCCUAAACUUGGUAGAUUGGAGCCUAAGCAUCCAAGGAACCUCCUCCAAGGUGUGUGGAAUAGCUCUGGACGUUUCUCUCUACCAAAAGAUUCAGUUUUGAUUCGCACUGGGUCUAUUUAUAGAACAAAAAGAUAACAGAAAGAUUACAGAAUCCGAGCUAAUAAAAACAAACAACCACUCAGGCGCCUAAGUAAACCGCUCAAUGGUUUCCCUUUAGCCGUUGGACCGCUCAGCGGUCAAUUUUACCGCUGAGCGGUUUCCCCCUAAUCGUCCUGAACGCUCAGCGGUCCCUUUAACUCUUCUUUGUUAGGAAACAGGUUGGCUUCGUUUUACACCAAGAGGGGAGGUGAAUUGGUGUUAGCUCAAAAACAAAAUCUUUUUGCAAUCUUGGUAUGAAAUUCAAAGCUUUUGAUCUUUUCUUGAAAUGCAAGUACUGAAAAUUCAAUGCAGCGGAAAAAAACGUAGUUGACUGCUAAACAGAUAAAGUCGACUGAAUUAAAGAGUGUAGGGAUAGAGAAAAUCAAACACUGGUUUUUAUACUGGUUCGGCCAACAAUGCCUACAUCAAGUGUCCUUCCAAUCUUAAAAGCAAAUGCACUAUAAUGGUUGCGGUUUUUACAACAAGGAAUUUAUAAAGCACCAUUGUUAAGUCCCUGGCAAGUGUACCAGAUCGUUAUCAAGUAAUAUGAACGGGUAAGUCCGAGUGUCGUUUUCCAGAAGGACUCUUAGGCCUUAACUUUCAUGUAACCUAAUCGCGUAAGACUUGAAGAGAAUUAAUUUGGUGGUUAUAUGCAAAGAACAAAAAUAAACAUGCAAUGCAAUUGAUUCAGUUGGUUUUGAGAAACUAUGUAUGAAUGGUGUUGUUGGGGUUUAAAAUUUCAUCUUAUCCACUCUCAUAUAUCUACUCUUCUUAUUUAAUUCACUUAUUUAUCUAAUUGCCAUGCAUACUUUCUUAUUACCCUUAACCCAAUCCCUUGGUGAAAAGAGUCUAUUACUAAUUACCGGCUUGCUAUCCCUAGCCUCCCCUAGUAACCAAUAAUGCAAUGUGAUCUCAAGCAAUUACAAUUGACCGUCCUACCCCUAUCCCUCGGCGAUAUUGGCAUAAUCAAGGAAUUUCGCACCAGUUCAUGACAUUACCGUACGUCCCCUUAUCGGUAAAGACAAAGAUCUUUUACUGAAUGAGUUAAACAAUAAAAGCAUUGAGUGCAAAUGAGAACACAACAAUUGAUAAAUAAGUAUAUGACAAGCACAUGAAAUAAAUAAGAAUUUCAAUAUAUGAGAGUUUCAAAAGAUUACAUUGUUCCCCAACAACAAAGGGGUUUACUUCACCAUUGUCAUGGUGAAACUAGAUGAAAAUAAUGAAAGAAUGGAAGAAAUAACCCUAACCUUGGUUGAAUGGAGCCUAAGCAUCCAAGGAACCUCCUCCAAGGUGUGCGGAAUAGCUCUGGACGUUCUCUCUGCCAAAAGAAUCCCUAUCUAAUUUGCACUGGGGCUAUAUAUAAGCCCAAAAAGAUAACAGAUAGAUAACAGAAAGAUUUACAGAAUCUAGCUAAAAAAUAGACAACCGCCCAGGCGCCUAAUUUGACCGCUCAGUGGUUUACCUCUAGCCGCUUAGCGGUCAGUUUUGCCGCUGAGCGGUUUCCCUCUAAUUGCUUUGAGCGCUCAGCGGACCAUUCUGGCGCUCAGCGGCUUGCUUGACCUUUCAUGGGUCUAAGUCCACCUUACUUCACUUCCAUAUUUAAUUCAUCUAAAAACCCUACAAAACAAUGGAAAACAAGCAUAAUAUCGCUAAAACCAACUUUUGACUCUCAAGAGACUCAACUAAAUGUUUUACUUGAUUUAAAGCUCAUUCUAAGCCACAAAGGGUGUGUUUUAGUAUCAAAUUUGAGCAUGAAAAUAAUGGUUUUUAGACCGUUAUCACAACCCCAAACUUAGAACUUUGCUUGUCCUCAAGCAAACAAGACAAAACUUGGCUUUCCAAUUUUUCAUCAAAUAAUUCAUACUUUCAAAAACUCCUUUUUCUCAUGACAAGUUAUUAUACAAUUUCAAAUUUCAGUGGAAUCCUACAAAGAUGCAUGCAUGCUUUCAAUCCAAAUUAGUUCACAUAAUCAAUCGUUUUUUCCAACAGAUGUUUCAUUAAUGAAUGAUUAAUUAACUAAACAUAGAUAUAAACAUGGAUUUAACAAUUCUCACCAAACAAGUGUUUCACUCAAUCACUCAAGUGUUUAGCAGGUCACUCUACUCUCUACUGCUCACAUGUCACAUAAAACAAUAUUGUCAUUCAUCUAAAACAAUCAAUAUCUUCACAUGCAAAUGUCAUCACAAGGACUUGUCCAAGGCUUGUAUUGUGGCUGGGCUAUCAAGAAAGUUGGUUUUUCUGGAAUACAAAAUCCUCAAGUUAAGAGAGUUUAAAUCAUUGUUCAAAGUUCAAGCACACUGUCAUUUUAACCAAUCUCACUCAUUCCCAACUUUUUCCCUUUUUCAUUUUACAUUGAGUUCUCUUUACAUGUUUUUCUAUUUUCUUCUUUUCUUUUCUUUUCACAUGCAUUUUUCGUUUUCAUCUUUUGAACUUGAUGCUUUUCUUUUUCUUUUGCCUUUCACUUUCCCCAUUCAACCCCAAACUUGAACCUUUUCAACACAUAUAAUUAUUCUCAACCCUAACUCAAGGUAAAUCAAUUCAAUCAAGGUUUUUCAUAUUGUUUAAGGUCAAGGUUCAAAAAGGGUAUAUCAUUUAAAAUUCUUUGGGUGAAAAUUUGGCUUAGUAAGGGCUCUCCAAACAUGGCCUUGAUCAUAUGACAUACACAUGCAAUUCAAUCAAUUAUCAAGAUUAAGUCAAUACCAUUCAUGAUUCCCUGUAAACAGUACACACAACAAUAAAACUCUGAAGCUCAAUACCUCACAUAAUCAGGCUUUCUCACUUCUCACAUGAAUCCUGCUUAGCAUCAAAAUCACAAUCAUAAAUCAGUUACUCAUUUGUUCACAUAGCUAGUGAACCAUCAACCUGGAUAUCAACAUUCACACACUCUCAAUCAUCAUCCACAAUCAAUCAUCAAUAGUAAACCACUCAUCAUGCAAUAAAUUAGAACCAUUAUUCGAAUAAGUGUACAAACCAAGCAUAGACUCAAACAUAAAUUUAACCUAUACUACUAAUUCAAAGUGAUAAAACCUGGGUUGCCUCCCAAAAGCGCUUGUUUAAUGUCAUGAGCCUGACCCAAACCUCAUGGAUCCACCAACAUCAGUAUGGUGGAAAACUGUUCCACUUCUCCUCCUAAAUAAUGUUUGAGCCUCUGACCAUUUACAACCCAAUUUCUCUCCUUAUCUGUAGUUUCCAAUUCCACAGCUCCGUUUGGAUAUACACGCUUUAUCACAAAGGGUCCCGACCAUUUUGAUUUCAGCUUCCCAGGAAAUAACUUCAACCAUGAAUUUAAUAGUAGCACCUGUUGUCCUGGAGUGAAGACUCUCUUUAUCAGCUUUUUAUCAUGAUAAAAUUUCACCUUUUCUUUAUAACUCCUUGAUGAAUCAUCUGCAUAUACCGCCUCUCUUCAAGUUCUAAAAUUUCAAAGCCCACAAAGCCUUAUGUUCCAUCUCUACUCGCAAGUGACAUGCUUUCCCAUAUACCAUCUGAAAAGGUGAUAACCCCAAUGAAGUCUUCAUAGCCUUCCUGUAUGCCCAAAGAGCAUCAUCUAAUUUCUGUGACCAAUCCUUUCGUGAAAAAGCAACUAUCUUCUCUAAUAUCCUCUUAAUUUCCCUAUUGGAAACUUCAGCUUGACCAUUCGUUUGUGGAUGAUAGGGUGCAGCCACUUUAUGUUUCACCCCAUAAUGUCUAAGUACCUUAGCAAGCUGAGCAUUACAAAAAUGAGACCCCUCAUCACUAAUAAGUACCCUAGGGGUUCCAAACCGUGAGAAAAUUUGCCUUUUCAAGAAUUUAAUCACCGUAUUGGCAUCAUUCUUUGGACAUGCUAGAGCUUCCACCCAUUUACUCACAUAAUCAACAACCACCAAAAUAUAUUCAUUAUUAAAUGAUGGUGGAAAAGGCCCAACAAAAUCAAUACCCCAACAAUCAAAAACUUCAACUUCCAAAAUACCUUGUAACGGCAUCUCAUGCCUUCUUGAAAUAGCUCCUGGCCUUUGACACUUAUCACAAUUCCUAGCAUGAUUAUGCGCGUCUUUGAAUAAAGUAGGCCAAUAAAAUCCUGAUUGAAGAAUUUUUGCACCUCUUCGCUCCCCAUUAUAAUGCCCUCCAUAAGGAGAAUUAUGACAAUGCCAAAGGGUUCCUUCUACCUCUUCCUUAGUUACACAUCUCCUUAAAAGACUAUUUGCUCCAAUCUUGAAUAAAUACGGAUCAUCCCAUAUAAAUUGCUUAGCAUCAGAAUAAAACUUCCUUUUCUGUUGCCAAUUUAAUUCUUCAGGGAUAACACUUGCAGCUUUAAAAUUAGCCAUAUCAGCAAACCAUGGCCUUUGUUGAAUAUACAAAAGAGUUUCAUCUGAAAAAGACUCCCAGACUUCCUUCUCCUUGCUUGUUACUUCCGUGUUAACCAGUCGAGAUAAGUGAUCAGCUAUCAAAUUCUCACUUCCCUUCUUAUCCCGAAUUUCUAUGUCAAAUUCUUAUAACAAAAGUACCCACCUGAUUAACUGUGCCUUUGAAUCUGGCUUUGUUAACAAGUACUUUAUAGCUGCAAGAUCCAUAUAAACUAUAACUUUAGAUCCAAUGAGAUAAGAUCUAAAUUUCUCCAGUGCAUAAACUAUGGCCAAAAAUUCUUUCUCUGUGGUAGCAUAAUUAAACUGGGUUUCAUUUAAGACUUUACUAGCAUAGUAAAUAGCAUGAAAUACUUUUUCUCUUCUUUGACCCAGUACUGCACCUAUAGCAUAGUCACUAGCAUCACACAUAAGUUCAAAAUCUUUAGUCCAGUCUGGAGCCACAAUUACUGGAGCAGAAAUCAAGCUUUUCUUCAUAACAUCAAAAGCUUUCAAACAUUCAGAACUCAUCUCAAAUGGUGUAUCCUUCACUAGCAAAUUACUCAACGACUUAGCAAUCUUUGAAAAGUCUUUGAUAAAUCUCCUAUAGAAACCAGCAUGGCCUAAGAAACUCCGGAUUCCUUUCACGUUUGAUGGUGGUGGAAGCUUUUCAAUUACCUCCACUUUGGCUUUAUCAACUUCAAUCCCUUUAGACGAAAUUUUGUGUCCCAAUACAAUUCCUUCAGUAACCAUAAAAUGGCAUUUUUCCCAAUUCAAUACAAGAUUUGUUUGGACACACCUUUUAAGAACUGCAUCUAAGUUGUUCAAACACCUCUGAAAAGAAUCUCCAAAUACCGAAAAAUCAUCCAUGCAGACUUCUAUGCUUUUCUCCAUAAAUUCCGCAAAGAUGGCAUGCAUACACCUUUGAAAUGUGGCAGGUGCAUUAUAUAAUCCAAAUGGCAUUUUUCUAUAAGCAAAUAUACCAAAAGGACAUGUGAAAGUUGUUUUCUCUUGAUCUUCAGGAUCUACCACAAUCUGAUUAUAUCCAGAAUAACCCUCGAGGAAGCAAUAAUAUGUUUGUCCAGCUAAUCUUUCUAGCAUCUGGUCCAUAAAGGGUAAAGGAAAAUGAUCUUUUCUGGUGGAUGUAUUUAGCUUCCUGUAAUCUAUACACAUCCGCCACCCAGUAAUUGUUCGCGUAGGAAUUAAUUCAUUUUUCUCAUUAUGAAUUACUGUCAUUCCUCCUUUCUUUGGCACCACUUGAACUGGACUCACCCAUUUACUACCAGAUAUUGGGUAUAUAAUUCCUACCUCUAGCAACUUCAACACUUCCUUUCUCACAACUUCUUUCAUAACUGGAUUUAAUCUUCUUUGUGGUUGAGCCACUGGUCGAUAAUCACUCUCCAUAAGAAUCUUGUGCAUGCAAUAUGUAGGGCUUAUUCNCUUAAGAUCCGUGAUUGACCAGCCUAUAGCACCUUUAUUUACUUUUAAGACUUCCACCAACUUUUCUUCUUCUUUUGUAGAUAAUAACUUACUAACAUCAGCUUCCAAAAACACAUACUUCAAAUGUGGUGGUAGUUCUUUCAGUUCAAGCUUGCUUUCCUUUACUUUCUCCUUGGGAUCAAUUCGUUCAAAACUGGUCUCUUCUAUUGGGAUUUCUUUUGUUUCCUCCAAUUCACGGACACAUUCUUCAAUCAUUCUCUCUUCUUCAUGCAAAUCUUCAUUCUCAUUAAUGAGCGACCUGUCCAGUGCAGAUACAUUUCGUAUUCUCUUAUCUUGCAACAUACAAAGUUCUUCAACAAUGUCUAUUUGAAAGCAUGACUUUUUAUCUCUAGGAUAUGACAUUGCUUGAAAAACAUCAAAAUUCACCUUUUCAUCCUGUACUCUGACCUUCAGCUUACCAUACUCCACAUCAAUUAAAAUUCUGGCUGUCUUCAUGAAGGGUCUUCGAAGAAUCAAAGGUGCAUCCCCAUUUUCCUCCAUCUCCAUAACGACAAAAUCCACCGGGAAUAAAAAUUUGUCUACUUUAACUAUCACAUCUUCAGCCACUUCAUAUGGGUAUUUAAGAGAUCUAUCAGCUAAUUGAAGAGUCAUCCUUAUUGGCUUUAGCUCUAAUCCUCUAAUCUUUCUGAACAUAGAAAGAGGGAUUAGAUUAAUCAGAGCUUUUCCCACUUCUAACUUUCCAAUAGUACAUGGAAUAGUGAAACUUCCUGGAUCUUGCAGUUUAGGAGGUAAUUUCCUUUGUAUGACUACACUACAGUUUCCUUGCACUUCAAUGGUUUCCUUGUCAACAUACUUCCUCUUUUUCAUAAGCAAUUCUUUUAGAAAUUUAGCAUAUGAGGGCAUUUGCUGAAGUGCCUCAAAAAAUGGUAUGGUUAUUUCCAACUUUCUAAAAAUCUCCAUAAAGCACUCAAGUUGCUUUUCCUUCUCCCUUCUUGAGUAUGUUUUUGGAUAAGGCAAAGGUUUAACAUACUCCUAUUCCUUCAAUUUUUCAACUUCUUCUUUCCUCUCAUCACCCUCACCAUUUUUCAUUUUUUUUUCUCUCUCUCUCUAUCUUCCUCUUGCUCAUUUUUUUCAAUACUCUAUUUUUCUACCUCUCUUUUUUCGACUCUCCUCUCCUCCAAUACUCUCCCACUUCUAGUAAUAAUUUCACAUGCCUCCUUUUCCUCCCUUUUAUCAACAUAGAACACGCUACUCGUCACAACUUUCUGAAAUAUUUCUUCUGAAUCAAUACUCCUUUGUAUUGGCAUGAAUUCAGGUUGUUCUGAAUUUCUUGAAACUAUUAUCAUCUCCUGUGGUAAGCUAGAUAAUUUCUGAAUAAUUAUCUCCAAUUGCUGAGUAAUUAUCUUGUUUUGUUCCAUCAUGGAACUAUAAUCCUAUGAUUCUGAAAUUUUUUGCACAACAUCAGCAUUCUCACUCUGCAUUUCUUCAUUAUCUGCCAUAUUCUCAAUCAUCUCAUAAGCCUCAUCCUCAGUUUUCAUUCUAAUAUCCCCUCUGGCUGCAGCAUUUAAUAUCUUCUUUGACUGCAUCUACAGUCCUCCAAUGAAUGUAAGAACUAUGUGUCUUAUCAAAUCCAUGGAUCGGGGUCUUUCUUAACAAGCUUUUAAACCUAUCCCAUGCUUGCCCGAAAGUCUCUAUCAUGUCCUGCUUGAAUGAUGAAAUUUCCAAUCUUCCCUGUGUAAUUUUUUAUUGUGGAAAAUAUUUCUUCAUAAAUGUUCUAGCCACAUUCUCCCAUGUAGUAAAUGUUCCAUCAGGGAAAGAGUUGAGCUAUGUCUUAGCAUUGCCUCCCAAUGAGAACGAGAACAAGCUAAGCCUCACCAUAUCAUCUGAUACACUUGCCAUCUUCACUGUGUUGCAUAUUUCACUAAACGCUGUCAAAUGGUCAUAAGGAUUCUCAUUUGAUAGGCCAUGAAACUGUUUGCUCUGCACCAGAUGUAUAAGUGUUGGAUUCAUCACCAUGUUGGUCGUUUGAUCUGUAGGCAUGACCAUGCUGCUAAAAUGGAAAGGGCCAACCGCAUCUGAUUGGUCUGCAAGAGUGCGUCUUGGAGGAGUUCUUUCAGCCAUCUCCUCUGUUGUUUUGUUCCCUAGAUGGGCGUCUGACUCUCCUUCUCCCUCUUGCUUCGCUUAAGCCUUCAAGAAGAGGUUGCGUAUUUUUCUUGCUUCUAGUAUGUCUCGUCUCCUGUUGCAUGCACAAGAAACACAAACCCUAGUAGCACUUUUUUUAUAUCUUAUAUAAAAAAAAUAAAAAGAUAAAAAAAAUAAAAAGAUAUAUACAAUCAAGUCAAACUUAAUCAGUUUACACUACUAGAUAAGUUAAACCACGAGUCCCCAACAACGGCGCCAAAAACUUGUUAAGUCCUUGGCAAGUGUACCAGAUUGUUAUCAUGUAAUAUAAAUGGGUAAGUCCGAGUAUCGUUUUUCCAAAGGACUCUUAGGCCUUAACUUUCAUGUAACCUAAUCGCGUAAGACUUGAGAAAAGAGAAUUAAUUUGGUGGUUAUAUGCAAAGAACAAAAAUAAACAUGCAAUGAAAUUGAUUCAGUUGGUUUUGAGAAACUAUGGAUGAAUGGUGUUGUUGGGGUUUACAAUUUCAUCUUAUCCACUCUCAUANNNNNNNNNNNNNNNNNNNNNNNNNNNNNNNNNNNNNNNNNNNNNNNNNNNNNNNNNNNNNNNNNNNNNNNNNNNNNNNNNNNNNNNNNNNNNNNNNNNNNNNNNNNNNNNNNNNNNNNNNNNNNNNNNNNNNNNNNNNNNNNNNNNNNNNNNNNNNNNNNNNNNNNNNNNNNNNNNNNNNNNNNNNNNNNNNNNNNNNNNNNNNNNNNNNNNNNNNNNNNNNNNNNNNNNNNNNNNNNNNNNNNNNNNNNNNNNNNNNNNNNNNNNNNNNNNNNNNNNNNNNNNNNNNNNNNNNNNNNNNNNNNNNNNNNNNNNNNNNNNNNNNNNNNNNNNNNNNNNNNNNNNNNNNNNNNNNNNNNNNNNNNNNNNNNNNNNNNNNNNNNNNNNNNNNNNNNNNNNNNNNNNNNNNNNNNNNNNNNNNNNNNNNNNNNNNNNNNNNNNNNNNNNNNNNNNNNNNNNNNNNNNNNNNNNNNNNNNNNNNNNNNNNNNNNNNNNNNNNNNNNNNNNNNNNNNNNNNNNNNNNNNNNNNNNNNNNNNNNNNNNNNNNNNNNNNNNNNNNNNNNNNNNNNNNNNNNNNNNNNNNNNNNNNNNNNNNNNNNNNNNNNNNNNNNNNNNNNNNNNNNNNNNNNNNNNNNNNNNNNNNNNNNNNNNNNNNNNNNNNNNNNNNNNNNNNNNNNNNNNNNNNNNNNNNNNNNNNNNNNNNNNNNNNNNNNNNNNNNNNNNNNNNNNNNNNNNNNNNNNNNNNNNNNNNNNNNNNNNNNNNNNNNNNNNNNNNNNNNNNNNNNNNNNNNNNNNNNNNNNNNNNNNNNNNNNNNNNNNNNNNNNNNNNNNNNNNNNNNNNNNNNNNNNNNNNNNNNNNNNNNNNNNNNNNNNNNNNNNNNNNNNNNNNNNNNNNNNNNNNNNNNNNNNNNNNNNNNNNNNNNNNNNNNNGCAAAACAAUGCAAAACAAGCAUAAUAUCGCUAAAACCAACUUUUGACUCUCAAGAGACUCAACUAAGUGUUUUACUUGAUUUAAAGCUCAUUCUAAGCCACAAAGGGUGUGUUUUACUAUCAAAUUUAAGCAUGAAAAUAAUGGUUUUUAGACCGUUAUCAACCACGCAAAAAUAUAAAUCUCCUCUUUAACCCAAAACCAGAUAUAGCUGCACACACAAAACCAUAAUUGUAGCAAGAAUCCCCUCUUCUGCAAUCUGAACCCACGUUGAAGAAUCCUCAACUUGUAACUAGCACUCUUCACAGGAUGCCAAGCCUAUCUCAGCACGCUUCACAAGUUACCAAGCUUAUCACAACAAACUUCACAGGUUGCCAAGCGUUCAAUCAAAUACAGCAGUCUUCACAGGAUGCCAAGCCUUUCAAGAUCAAACCAGAAGCACUUUCUUUGUGCAGAUGUUGAUCAAACAGUGUACGCAAUUGACUCCUCAAUCUGAAUCUCUCUCAAGAAAGAUCACCACCAUCCUUUUGGAGAAUUCUUGGAGCUUCCAAAACUGAGAACUAUCUCUGAAACAGGACAACGAAAAUGUUAGAUUACAAAAGUCUUAGAACAAUUCGUGUUCUAUCAUAUUUAUAGUUUUCCUGUCAUUCUCAGUCGAAUGGCCUACUAAUACAAUCGACUGUAUUAAAACAGUUACAACAAACAGUCAACACAAAGGCUCCGCAGUCAACCAAAUCAAUGCACAUUUAAGACAAUUGACCCAGUCAGUCAAUCUUAACUAACAUUUGAAAAAUAUAGUCGUUGGAACAAGUAGGCAUAACAGAAUUGCAAAUAUAACAGCAAUACAGUAGAAUAGGUGUUCCACACUAUCAACUGACACUUGAAAAAAUACUUUGAAAUUCUUUUCAACUCAAAAUCUCAUAAAGCACGUGUUCACAAAAUCUGUACAAAGAUUUUAGCAUAGUCGAAUCAAUUCCGAGUGUAUUCGACUAAACUAGACCUUUGUCUCAACAAAUAUAAGUUCAUAAAAGUGCUUGUGAUCUUUUCUUCAGAAAUGUGCAGAAGUAAUCAAAAUCAUUUUAUCACACAUUUCAAUACAAGCAUGUUCCAUAUAUAUAACACAUAAUCAAUCAUAGGAACACACAUUGCUAAUCAAUCAAAACAUGUUCAAUCCAAAGCAUUGUUCAAAUCAGUUUAGUAUAUCAGCUGAACAUGUAAACCUGGAACUUAUGUAUUGUUAUUAAGCAGUGUGUUGUCAUCAUCAAAAACCAGUUUGAUAUAGAGUUUGUGUUGUCAACAAUCUCAACAUUCUUUUCAUCCUUUUUCUUCAUCUUUCACGAGUCUAAGUCCACCUUGAUUUACUUCUUUCUUCAAUUCUCAUCAAAACCCUGCAAAACAAUGCAAAAACAAGCAUAAUAUCUCUAAAACCAACUUUUGACUCUCACAUGACUCAACUAAGUGUUUUACUUGAUUUUAAGCUCAUUCGAAGCUAUAAAGGGUGUGUUUUGAUAUCAAAUUUAAGUAUGAAAAUAACGGUUUUUAGAUCGUUAUCACAACCUCAAACUUAGAACUUUGCUUGUCCUCAAGCAAACAAGACAAAACUUGGCUUUCCACUUCUUCAUCAAAUAGUUCAACACUUUUCAAAAUUCCUUUUUCUCACAAGUUAUUAUUCAUUUCAUAUUUUCAGUGGAAUCCUAUAAAGAUGCAUGCAUGCUUCAAUCCAAUUCAGUUCACAUAAUCCCAACAAAUGUUUUAUUCAUGAAUGAUUAAUCCACUAAGCAUAGAUGUAAACAUGGAUUUCAACAAUUCUCACCAAGCAAGUGUUUCACUCAAUCACUCAAGUGUUUAGGAGGUCACUCCACUCUCUACUGUUCACAUGUCACAUAAAACAAUAUUGCCACUCAUCUAAAACAAUCAAAAUCCUCACAUGCAAAUGUCAUCACAAGGACUUGUCCAAGGCUUGUAAUGAGGCUGGGCUAUCAAGAAAAUUUGGUUUUCUGGAAUACAAAAUCCUUGAGUUAAGAGAGCUUAAAUUAUCAUUCAAAGUUCAAGCACACUCUCAUUUUAACCAAUCUCACUCAUUCCCAAAUUCUUCCCUUUUCUUUUAUUUUUACAUUGAGCUCAUUUUACAUGUUUUUUCUUUUUUUCUUUUCCUUUCUUUUUCUCAUGCAUUUUUCUUUUACAACCUUUGAGCUCAAUGCUUUUCUUUUGCCUUUCAACUUUCCCCAUACAACCCCAUUCUUGAACCUUUUCAACACAUACAAUUAUUCUCAACCCAACUCAAGGUAAAUCAAUUCAAACAAGGGUUUUCAUAUUGUUUAAGGCCAAAGUUCAAAAAGGGUAUAUCAUUUAAAACACUUUGGGCAAAAAUUUGGCUAAGUAAGGGUUCCAAGCAUGGCCUUGAUCAUAUAACAUAAACAUGCAAUUCAAUCAAUUAUCAAGACUAAGGCAAUAUCAUUCAUGAUUCCCUGUGAACAGUAUAUUCAUCAAUAAAAACUCUAGAGCUCAAUACCUCACACAACAUGUUUUCUCACUUAUCAUUCAUGUAUCUUGCUUAGCAUCACAAUCACAAUCAUAAACCACCACACAUAUGUUCACAUAGUUAGUGAACCAUUCACCUGGAUAUCAACAUACACACAUUCUCAAUCAUCAUCCACAAUCAAUUAUCAUCAUUGAAAACUCAUCAUGUAAUAUAAAAUCAAACCAUCAUCAGAAUCAGUGUACAAGCCAAGCAUAGACACAAAAAUAAAAUGCUCCUAUACUACAAAUCUGAAGUACAAAAGAAAAAAGAAAAACCCAUGUCCAAGUGUUGGCAUCCAUCAAUAGAUGCCCUCAGUGCAAGUCAUCAUCCAAGUCUUACUCAUCCCCUUCUUGAGCAUCCUCAAAAUCAUCAACAUCUUCAUCUCUGUCUGAUGCUCCAGCUGCUCCAGACCCACUGCCCUGUGCUUGCUCCUAAGGCCAAGCCAUCGCACUAUGGAACUCAUCCAUAGUCCACCUGUGCACUUGUGGCAUGUCAUGAAGUCCUAUAAUCAUCUCAACAGUGGCCACCUGCCCUCUACGGAGAGACUCCAUCCUUGCCUCCAUCACGGACAUAUACAUGUCCCUCAUCUAGAAAGGCUCAGCAUGUUGCACCGGUGCAUCUGCAUUUACGUCCUUCUGUUGUGCUGCUGCCUUCCUAGGAUGUCUCCUAGGAACUGCUAUGGCUGGCUCAUCACCUCCACAGUACUGACGAUAAUAGGAGGCAUCAAUAGCUCUCCUCGACCUCUCAUAAGGUGGAACUACAGUGUCCACUCCAGCCUGCUGGUACAAAUAUGUGAUUAGGGACGAAUGUCCCAGUGGUUUCCUGUUACUCACAGUAAUAGCGCAGCUCUGAAUCUCGUCGGCAAUAACCUUACCGACAUUAACAUCCAUCUGCCUCAGCAUGCAAUAGAUGAUAAGAAUCUGAUGCAUCGUGAUGUCGAAGACAUGAGAGCAUGGCUGUAUGUUGGCAUGAGUGAAUGCCAUCCAAUACUUGGCUAGGGGAGCCAAAUCUACCCUAAGGAUGUUGACUGGCGCUCCAUUAGGGUUCCUAUGAAAGUGUCUCCCAGGGAUACACAUCACUCUCUCAAUGUCUUCAUAAUCCCUGUGCUCCCCUAGAAUAGUAGCAUACCUACACUACUCUCCUAGCCACUCAGUCCCUAGGAAGGUGUUGAUAGUGUCGGGGUCGUAUCUGAUCAACUGCCCCCUCACAUAACUCAUGUACCUCCUUGCUGAUAUUCCUCCUCUGGGCAAGGCAUUGGUAUAAAAUUCCUUCACCAACUCAAUGCGAGCUGAUGCAGGAUAGGUGAUCAAUCUCUUCCAGCCUCGCCUCUCUAUCUCCAGUCCAAACUCUAGAGCUAAGUUAGGAAUAUACAUGGCCUUCCUCUCCAUCAGCAAACUCCUUUCCUGUAUAGUUGCAAAUGCUCCUCAUGCUUCUUGUAAAGAAACCUGGGAGAAUAAAAUCUCCUUGGUCUCUCUAGCUCCUUUCUCUUUUUGCCCAUGGUUCUCACUCUUUUUGAAGAAGACAUUCUUGAGUGGAGACUUUGAAUGCUUGCUAAAAUUGAUGAUGAAUGCCCUCUCCGAUGCAAAACCCUCAACCAAAAACCCCAAACUUUGAUAAAACAAUGGUGGAAAAGUGAGAUUUUGGUGAGUGAGAGAUGAGAAAGUGGGGAAAUCUCUCUAAAAAGCUCUUGAAAGUGAAAGAGGAGUGUUAGGGCUGAUGAGUCAAUAUUUUCUUGAUUUCACUUAGUUUAUUGUGCUAGAAUUAAUCAUGGUGAAUCUAGAUGAAAUACAAUGAAAGAAUGGAAGAAAUAAACCCAAACUUUGUAGAUUGGAGCCUAAGCAUCCAAGGAAUCUUCUCCAAGGUGUGUUUUGACUCUAAAACCAAGCAUAAUAUCUCUAAAACCAACUUUUGACUCUCACAUGACUCAACUAAGUGUUUUACUUGAUUUUCAUCUCAUUAUAAGCCAUAAAGGGUGUGUUUUGAUAUCAAAUUUAAGUAUGAAAGUAAUAGUUUUUAGACCGUCAUCAAGCUUUUGUUUCGCAAUCUAAAAGGACCUAUGUUAUCAAAAUUGAUUUAGUAUAUGCCCCUUGCAAUAAGAAGUCAAAUUCUAUUACUAAUGGAUUUUAUGAAUCUGUUGAAACAGGAAAUUUGCAAUAUAAGGCAUCGUGUGGUGGAGAACUUGUUUCUGGAUCACAGAGACUAAACCUGCUUGUCAACAGAUUUACAAAGUUUCUGGACAAAAAGGAUACACAGACAGAUCAAGGUGGCAUCAAGAAGGUCAAGACGGAAGAAGAACUGAUAAUGAUGGCGAAGUCUAGAAUUGUCAAUGCUGAUCUGAAACACGAGUCAAAAACCUCUACAUGGUAUCUGGACAGCAGUUGCUCGAGACACAUGACGGAGACCCUACAAAGUUCUCAGACAUCUCUUACAAAGCUACCGGUCAUGUCAAAUACGGUGACAAUAACAAAGGAAAGAUCAUUGGCAUGGGUAAAAAAAAAACCCCUUCAUCUUAUGAAAUUAAAAAUGUUUUGCUUGUAGAAGGGUUGAAGCACAAUUUGCUUAGCAUCAAUCAGUUGUGUGACAAAGGUCUAAAGAUCAUGUUUAAGCCCAAAUACUGUUUGAUCAGCAAUGGGACAACAUAUGAGUUAUUAUUCGUGGGAAAAAGAUUUAACAACAUUUAUGUAAUUGACUUCAAGGACAACCCAUUCGACUCGAUUGUCUGUCUGAUGACAAAAGAAGAAGAUGUUGGACUUUGGCACAAGAGACUUGCUCAUAUCAACAUGAAUUAACUGAAUAAAUUGGUCUCAAAGGAUUUGGUGGUUAGUCUACCUAAAAUUCGCUAUACAUCAGAAAGAUUAAGUGAUUCUUGCCAAAAAGGAAAGCAAACAAGACAUUCCUUCAAAAGCAAGAGAGAAAUGUCAACUAAGAGACCUUUACAACUACUUCACAUGGACCUGUUCGGACCCUCAAGAAUAAAAAGCCUCAGUGGAAACUCUUAUGGACUACUGAUAGUUGAUGACUACUCACGAUAUACAUGGACUUACUUCAUUGCGACUAAGAAUGAUACGUUUAAAUUUUUCAAAAGGUUUGCUGCUGCAAUUCAAAAUGAAAUGGAUCUUAAGAUCAAAUCUAUCAGAAGUGACCAUGGAGGAGAAUUUCAGAACAAGGACUUUGAUUAUUAUCUGGCUGAAAAGGGAAUAUCAUAUAACUUCUCAACACCUAGAACUCCACAACAAAAUGGAGUAGUUGAAAGAAAAAACAGAGCUCUUGAAGAACUUGCAAGACCAAUGCUAAAUGAAAGGAACCUGCUUAAAUACUUCUGGGCUGUUGCAAUCAGCACAACAUGUUAUGUACUGAACAGAACUAUCAAAAGAUCUAUCUUGAAGCUAACUCCUUAUGAAUUACUAAGGGGAAGGAAACCUAGUAUCUCCCAUUUACAUGUCUUUGGAAGCAAAUGUUUUGUACUUAAUAAUGGAAAAGAAAACCUUGGUAAAUUUGACUCCAAGGCAGACAAAGUAAUCUUCAUUGGAUACUCUCUAACGAGCAAAGCUUAUCGUGUGUACAACAAGAGAACUAUGAGUGUUGAGGAAUCGGUUCACGUCGCAUUUGAUGAAUAUAUUGAAGACAUUGGAAGAUAUGAUCACUAUAGGAAAUUAACUUAAAGAGAACACUCAACUGGAGAGGAGGAGGAACCUGAAGAAACUACUGAUAAAGAGAACAGUGGUGAACAAGUUGACUCUCCCAGAACCGAAUAGACUAAGGAAUGGAAAGUGCCAAAAAAUGUCUCCACUGACAACAUUAUUGGAGAAAUAUCAAGAGGAGUUUCUACUAGAAGACAACUAAAUCAAUUUUGCAUGAAUGUUGCUUAUGUAUCCAAGAUUGAGCCUAAAAGAAUAGAAGAUGCAUUGAGGGAUGGAAAUGGGAUGAUGGUUAUGCAGGAAGAAUUAAAUCAGUUCAGAAGAAAUAACGUAUGGGAGCUGGUACCCAGAACAAAUGACUUACAAGUAAUUGGUACAAAGUGGGUCUUUAGAAACAAAAUGGAUGACACGGGAGAAAUCAUAAAGAAUAAGGCCAGACUUGUUGGAAAAGGCUACUACUAGGAAGAGGGAAUCGACUAUGAUGAGACCUAUGCACAUGUGGCCAGAUUAGAGGCUAUAAUAAUUCUCCUUGCAAUUGCCUCUGUAAUGAAGUUCAAGUUGUAUCAGAUGGACGUCAAAAGUGCCUUCCUAAAUGGAUAUAUCAAGGAAGAAGUGUACGUGAAACAACCACCCGGGUUUGAAGAUUUUGAGCAUCCAGAUCAUGUAUUCAAAGUCAGAAAAGCUUUGUAUGGACUGAAGCAGGCACCAAGGUACUAGUAUGAACGAUUAAUUGAAUUUCUCAUAAAGAAAGGAUUCUCAAGGGGCAAAAUCGACUCAACACUGUUUAUCAAGAGCUUAAACAAGGAUAAACUCUAUGUUCAGAUUUAUGUUGAUGAUAUUAUUUUUGGUUCAACUAACUCUGUGUUGUGCAAGGAAUUCUCUAAGACUAUGCAGGAAGAGUUUGAAAUGUCCAUGAUGGGAGAAUUGACAUACUUCCUUGGUCAUCAAGUAAAAGAAACUAGAGAUGGAAUUUUUAUUCACCAAUCCAAGUACUACAAUGACUUGCUAAAAAAAUUAAAAAUGCUGGACUGCAAGGAGGCUGCAACUCAUAUGGCAACCAACUGUUACCUGGAUCUUGAUGAAGCUGGAAAAUAUGUUGAUCAAAAAGUGUACAGAGGUAUGAUUGGAUCCUUACUUUAUCUAACUGCUUGUAGGCCCGACAUUAUGCACAAUGUAUGUCUUUGUGCUAGGUUUCAAUCUUCUCCUAAAGAAUCACACUUAACCGUUGUUAAAAAGGAUUUUAAAAUACCUAAAAGGAACCAAAUGUCUUGGACUAUGUUAUCCAAAUGGUACAAAAAAAUUUCUGGAAGGUUACAGUGAUUCAAAUUUUGGAGGUUGUAAACUAGACAGAAAGAGCACCAGUGGCAAAUGUGAUCUACUUGGAUCUGCAUUGAUCUCCUGGCAUUCAAAGAAACAGUCAUGUGUGCCUUUAUCUAUCACAGAACCCGAGUACAUAGGAGCAGGAAGUUAUUGUCCACAGUCUCUUUGGAUUAAGAGUCAAUUAGAGGAUUAUGGUAUUAAAGUUAGAAAAUAUUCCUCCAAAUUGUGAUAGCACUAGUGGUAUAAAUUUGACAAAAAAAAUCAUGUUUUACAUUCAAAAGCCAAGCAUAUUGAGAUAAGGCAUCACUUCAUUCGAGAUAACAUCCUCAAGGGUGAAAUCAAGAUUGAAUCUGUAGACACCUUACAUCAAUGGGCUAAUAUAUUUACAAAACCUCUGAAAGGGAAAGAUUAUUUACUAUUCGGAAUGAACUAGGUAUUUUAAAUGAUAGUAGUAUAAAAUUAAUCUUAAAUCGACUUAGAAUUAAUUGAAGUUGAUUAUGCAUGAUUACACUAUUACAUUAUUUUGCAUAUUCACUUCUUGUUGGAUUAUUUUUUUCUUGCAUAACUAAAUUGCUUGAUCUGCAAGAGAGCUUUGAAAGGUUUUGAAGGAAAAAACUUCUUUGAAAUCACUAUUGGAAUCAUAACUCACUGAGAAGUAGUAAAAUUGACUCCGAUAAUAAUUCAAUUGACUUGAUCUCAACAGGAUAUAAAUUCCUUCAUUGGAAUUUGGUCAUUGUGUUGAUUGAUUAUCUUAUUCUGCUUAUCUGCAAUAUAUCUCUGAUUCUGAUUGUGUGAUUCAUAUGUGAGAUUAUAUUGUGAGAUUGUAUCUAUGCAUGAUAAAUUUGCUUGAAACCAUAUACAUGAUACAAUUCUAUUUAAUACUAGUUGUAUGUUGUAAUUAUUACUAUACUGCAUUGUGCAUCUAUAAUUGCUUGAGAAAAAUUUUCAUAAUGACAGGGGGAGCAUUACACGCAUACACAUAUUUCUUCACAUGCUACACUUCAGGAGGUGUUAUCUUUUUCAUGUGAUUAUAUAUGAUAUGGGGAGCAUCAUUCCAUCUUUUCAAACUGCUUAUAUUUCUUUUGAUGCAUCUCUGUUUGGUUUAUCAGCAUAUCAUAUCUAGAAGAAUACCUUUUUUGUUAAUGCACAAAGGGGGAGAAGUAUUGCGAAUUGUUAUUUGCUUGAUAUAUUGUUGAUUGAUUGUGUUCAUUCAGAGUAUUUGAACUGAAAUUUUAUUGUCAUAUCUUGUGUUUACUCUGAAUUUGGUUUGGUAUUGUGCAAACAAGUUUGUUUAUUAAUCAUGGUUGUGCAUCAUCAAAAAAGGGGGAGAAUGUUGAGAUUGUUGACAACACAAUAUCUAUAUCACUUUGGAUUUUGAUGAUGACAACACAUUUUUAAUAACACAUGUAUUGUUUAUGUGUUACAUGUUCUAUUUCUUAUUGAUUGAUAUCUUGUUGAACAUGUUUUUGUGUUUAUCUUGAUAUGUGAAUGCAUAUUUACUGAGCUUGUAUAUGUUACAUCAUAUCUAGUUGCACUACACAUGUUUUCAAAGAAGAAAACCACAUGCACUUUUAUGAACUUACAUUAUGUGGCAUAACUGCAAGUUGUAAGUCAACUUCAUUAUGGGGGAAGUCGAAUUAAGCUCGUGACUAUGCACAAAAUUUCAAAAACAGUGCUAUGUGAGAUUUUAAAUUCAAAAGAAUUUCAAAGUGAACUUUUGUGUUGAAGUCGACUGUGUGCACCACACAUUCGACUGUAUUAGUUGCUUGAUUUGGAAUUCUAUUAUGCUCUUGAACAGUAACGACAAUAUUUUUUAAAGUUAGUUAAGCAUUGAAUGUUAUUCAACUGUAUUGAAUGAGGAAUUAAUUUGUUUGACUGGACUGCUACUAUUUUGACUUAACUAUUAUAACUUUUAUAAGACAAUCGACUGUAUUAGUAGCAUAAUCGACUACAGGAGCGUCAGAUUUAUAAAAAGUUUCAACUUCGAUUUUCCACUGCACUUAAUUUUCUAUUACUUGUGAUUCAAAAAAGUUUGUAAAGUUUUAUACUUUUUAUUAAAGAUUGCGAAAAGAUUCUGAUUUUCAAAACCCACCAAUUCACCCCUCCUCUUGGUGUUAAAACGAAGCCUACCUGCUUCCCAACAAAGAGGGGGGGGGGGUGAAUUGGUGAACUGUAAAAACAAAGUCUUUUAAAAUCUUUUUCUCAAAAGGUGAUGCCUUUAAAGCUUUCUUGAAAUGCAAGGUAAAAGACUUUUUAAAGCAGCGAAAACUUAAUCGAAUGAAUAUAGAAUAAAGUUGAUUAAACGUAAAAGAGUAGGGAUCAGAAGAUUCAAACAAUAAGUUUUAAUACUGGUUCGACCAACUUGCCUACAUCUAGUGUCCUUCCAACCACGGGAAGCAAAUGCACUAUAAUGAUCAAGGUUUUUACAACAAGGUUUCUACAAAAGACCUCACAUAAAAAAUGUAAAACACCUCUCUAACCCUCUAAUCAAAAUAUAGGUAGUACAACAACUAGACCAGCAGCAAGAAUCCCCUCUCCUGCUAUCUAAACCCUUUGAGACACUCUCAAAGUCAAGAACGCCGCACACUCUUCUUCUUGUAGUCACAAUAGGGAACCUCAAUCCAAUCUUCAAAAGAUUGUAGACUCUGAUCUCGUAGUUACACCCAAAUGUGCAGAAUUGAUCAGCCUUUGAAAAUGUAGUAAACUUGCUCUUCAAGAAAUCACAAGGAGUUGAUCACCACGGUCACUUCUUGAUUCUUAGAGCUCUUUCUCUCUUUCUAUAAGAUUACACUUUCUGCAAAAGAUACCACAAACUGUUAGAUUCACAAAAGUUCUUACAGAAUUCGAAUUCGCAUCAAUUUAUAGAAUAACUCAUCACAUACGCAUUUUAAUCGACUAUGCUAUUAAUGCAGUUGAAUAUAACAAUUCUAUUAUAGCAGUUAGUAGAAAUCACAGCUACUAAUUGAAUUCCCAAUUAAUGCAGUCGAAUCUCAUUUAAUGCUUGGUCAACAUAAUUAAGAAUAUGAUCGUUAGAUAGUUAUAUCAAGCAUUAAUAGAAUUUCAAAACAACAACAAACUUAGUCGAAUGCAGCACGCCUGUAAUCGACUAUGUAACUGUGUUAAUCAUAGUUUUGAAAAACUUUCCCUUUGAAAGAUCUCACAAAACACUUUGAAAAUAGUUUGUGCAAACAAGCGAGUUUUAAUCAACUCACCCCAUAAUGAAAUCGACUUAAAAUUGUUGUUUUGCCACACAAUUAAAGUUCAACAAAAGUGUUUGUGGUUUUCAUUUUCCAAAAACAUGUGUCAUGCAUUCACAUAUAAAAUCACAUAUAUAACAUAGUGAAAUGCAAUGAAUGUCACAAUAAAAACACAAUCAUGUUCUCAUAUAUGCUCAAACAGAUUCAACACAUUGAUUAUAAGCAUAUAACAUGUAAACACAAAACAUGUAAUACAUAGUACACAUGUAUUAUUAAUUAUGCAUUGUCAUCAUAAAAAACUCAAAUAUCACUGAGAUUGUGGGUUCAGCUAUGUUGGAAAACAGAUAGGCUUCUUUUUACACCAAGAGAGGGGGUGAAGUGGUGAGUAUUCAAAAUCAGAGUCUUUUCGCAAUCUUUUAUACAAAGUAUAAAACUUUACAAAACUUUCUUGAAUCACAAGUAAUGAAAAUUGUGUCCAACGGAAAAUCGUAGUUGAGUACGCAGAGAGUACAAUCGACUAAAUAUAAAAGAGCAGGGAUAGAGAAAUCAAACACUGGUUUUUAUACUGGUUCAGCCUCAAUGCCUACAUCCAGUGUCCUUCCAAUACCAGGAAGGAAAUGCACUAUAAUGGUCAAGGUUUUUACAACAAGGGUUUUAUAGAAGACCUCCACGUCAAAAAUAUAAAACACCUCUCUAACCCUCUAACCAAAAUCUAGGUAAACCACACAGCAAGACUUGCAGCAAGAUGUCCCUUCUCCUGUAAUCUGCCAAACCACUUUGAACAAUCCUCAAAGUGAACCAGACUCCACGAGUCUAUCCCCUGUAGUCACAAUAGGUGCAAGCAACAAUCACCACUAGUGCCAACAAGAAUCUUGAUCAACCUAGAAACACAUCAAUGUGCAGAUAUGUGAUCAAGCAGUGAGCACGCAAUUAGUCUCCCUUUGAAUCUCCUUCAAGCAAGAUCACCACCUUCUUCUUGAUGAGUUCUUGGAGCUCUAUAACCUCAGAGAAAUCAAUCAGAAACAGAAUAUGAAAAUGUUAGAUCAUCAAAAGUCCCUGAGUAACAUCAGGUUCAAUCUAUUGAUAGAUUUUUGUUAAGUAGACGCUCUCUUGGUCGAAUAUGCUACCAAUACAGUCAACUAUGUUAUGAUAGUUAUAACAGCUUAGUCAAACCAGUAGCAUGAUAACGGUUGAAAAACCAUUAUUUUCAUACUCAAAAUUGACAUCAAAACACACCCUGUAUGACUUAGAAUUAGCUUGAAACCAUACAUUUGCUUUAGUUUUGUGAAUAAGAGAGUUGAGGUUAUACUUUAUGAUUUUAUCACUAAAUUCCCUUGAUUUUGUAGGUUAUUGGAAUGAUUUGAAAGAGGUGUCAAAGUAUCAAAGAGUUGAUGUGCAGAAAAGUCAACUAGAAUGCAGAAAAGUCAACUAGUCAACCAGAAAAGUCAAUCAGUCAACCAGUAAAGUCAACCAGUCAACCAUGUUGAGAUUGUUGACAACACAAACUCUAUAUCAAACUAUUUUUUGAUGAUGACAACACAGUGCUUAAUAACAGUACAUGUUCCAGUAUUACAUGUUCUUGUUCUGAAGUGUUUGUUAUAUCUGUUGAACAUGUUUUGUUGAUUUACAUUGUAUGUUCCUGUGAUUGAUUAAGUGUUAUAUUUGUGGAACACACUUGUAUUGAAAUGUGAAAUAAAAUGUUUUUAAUUACUGCACAUUUCUUAAAGAAAAAUCACAAGCACCUUAUGGACUUAUAUUUGUUGUGACAGUUCUAGUUCAGUCGAAUACACUCAUAAUGGAUUUGACUAUGCUAAAAUCUUUGUACAAAUUUUGUAAACCAGUGCUAUGUGAGAUUUUGUGUUGAAAAGAAUUUCAAAGUGAUUUUUCAUGUGUCAGUCGACAUUGUGGAUCACAUAUUCGACUGUGUUACUGAUCUGUUUGAAAUUUUGUUAAGCCUACAUGCUCCAACUAUUUUUCAAAAGUUAGUUAAGACUGUGUGACCUGGUCAACUGUAAUAAAUGUGUAUUGAUUUUGUUGACUGAGGAGCCUUUUUUUAACUGUCUGUUAUAAUUGUCUUAAUACAGUCAACUGAAUUAGUAGGUUAUUCGAUUGAGAAGCAAUCUAAUAUAACAGAAAACUAUAAAUAGACAAAACGCGAAUUGUUUUGUGACUUUGGUGAUCUGACAUUUUCAUUUUCCUGUUUCAGAUUGAAUUCUUUGUUUUAGAAGAUCCAAGAAUUCUCCAAGAAGACGAUGGUGAUCUUGCUUGAGAGAGAUUCAAAGGGAGGAGUCAAUUGCUCAUACUGCUUGAUCAAUAUCUGCACAAAGAAGGUGCUUCUGUUUGAUCUUUGAAGGCUUGGCAUCCUCUGAAGACUGUUGCGUUUGAUUGAAGGCUUGGCAACCUGUGAAGUAUGUUGUGAUAGGCUUGGCAUCCUGUGAAGAGUGUUGGUGACACGUUGAGGAUUGUUCGACGUGGGUGCAUAUUGUAGAAGAGGGGAUUAUUGCUGCAAUUCUGGUUUUGUGUGUGCAGCUAUAUUUGGUUUUGGGUCAGAGAGGAGAUUUAUAUUUUUGUGUGGUGCUUCUAUAAAUUCCUUGUUGUAAGAACCGCAACCAUUAUAGUGUAUUUGUUUCCUGAGUUUGAAGGACACUGGAUGUAGGCAUUAUUGGCCGAAUCAGUAUAAAAAGCAAUGUUUGAUUUUCUCUAUCCCUGCACUCUUUAUUUCUAGUCGACUAUAUUUGUUUAGCAAUCAACUGCGUUUUUCCGCUGCAUUGAAUUUUCAUUACUUUCAUUUCAAGGAAAGAUCAAAAGCUUUGAAUUUUCAUACCAAGAUUGCGAAAAGAUUUUGAUUUUGAACUAAGACCAAUUCAACCCCCCUCUUGGUGUAAAACGAAGCCUAACUGUUUCCUAACAAUUGGCACCAGAGCUGGUUUUCAUAAAAUAUUUGAAAAUUCAGUUGACUCUAUUUUUAUUUUAUUCGACUAUAAAACCUAGGGAUGACUUCAAAUUUUCA
Molecule: long non-coding RNA, 63252 nt
Filed under: Vigna radiata
Lineage: Eukaryota; Viridiplantae; Streptophyta; Magnoliopsida; Fabales; Fabaceae
Description: long non-coding RNA (VRAD_LNC006663)
Source: RNAcentral